UGAUCCCGCCGGCGGGCACCUACAACUACUGGGCCGACUCCUACACGCUCUUCGUCUUCAACAUGGCGCUCAUGGGCUUCGCCGAGCACCGCCGCCUCCAGGACUGGUACAACCCGGGCUCCAUGGGCAAGCAGUACUUCCUCGGCCUCGAGAAGUUCCUCGCCGGCUCCGGCGACCCGUCCUACCCCGGCGGCCCACUCUUCAACCCGCUCGGCUUCGGCAAGACCGAGAAGGAGAUGAAUGAGCUCAAGCUCAAGGAGAUCAAGAACGGCAGGCUCGCCAUGCUCGCCAUCCUCGGCUACUUCAUCCAGGGGCUCGUCACCGGCGUCGGCCCGUUCCAGAACCUGCUCGACCACCUCUCCGACCCCGUCAACAACAACGUGCUCACCAGCCUCAAGUUCCACUAGAACGUCCGUUGGUUGCUGCAUCAUACCUGUUGUUCAUAUGCUCUGGCUUGGCUGAUGCAUGGAAAGGAGCCUGAAGCGUUGCAUCAGGACUCAUGGCCAGCCUGCUGCUGCUUGUAACAAAUUAGUAUUGAUCUUGUUGAGACCACAAACUAUAUUGCACAUGGUAAAUCAAUGUACAAUUCCCUCCCUAGACGCUGAAAAAUUGAUCUUAAGGGCACACAUCCCCUAGGCAUCCAAUGGUGGAUGCACGUGGGGAUGUAUGUGUAGCAGAACUGCAGAAGAGAGCAUGUACUCUAUGUGUAUUCAAUGGUGAUGCACAUGGGAGCACGUAUGCUUAGAGACAAAACAGCAUUACAUUACCUUCCCUUCUGUUUUUUGUCAAUAUUUGCGGCCAAUGAAAGAGCGAAGUUUUGUAUCAUUUCACGGUGCUAAUUAACCUACCCUAGCAAAAAUGAGUAUAUCUGGUUUAGCAAAAUUCUUUUUUUUUUUUAGUUUGAGGAUCUAUGAACAAGUAUAAUUUACUCAUAGUACAAAAAUACUUGGAGAGUGUUUAGUGGAGCGUUUAGUGGAGCUCUCAAGCAGCUUCUAGCUUGAAUCUAGGAAGAUGUCCAAACAUUUUUUUAUAGAAAAGUUUUAAAAUAAACUAGAAGGUUAGAAGCUAAAAGAAGUAGUUUCUUCUAAUUCACUUAUGCACACAAUCACUUUUGACAUACAGUUCAUCCUAAAGAAUCAAUUCUUUCAUAUAAUCACUUCCUUAAUUAAAAACUAGCGACGACAGCUAUCACCGCCGUUUAUAGUGAUAAAAACAGCCAUCAUUGUUGGUUCGCAUUACAAACUGACGAUGAUAACCAAAAAGGUAUCACCGUUGAUUUGUUUGCAGGGCCAAUAUAAAGACCAAAACACUCAGACCAUAACCCCACCCCACUCUCAUAGAGCCACUGCCCCUCCCCUCUAGCCUACCCUCUUUCUCUCCCUUGCACCUCUCAACCAUUGUCUCUAUCUCACCUAUCCCUCGGACGCCCAUCUUUCGACUCCAGGCUCCCACUCCUCCAGGGCGGAUGUACGGCCCGUGCUGCCCGGGCUGUAGCACGGGACGAAGCUUAAAUAACAGUAGAGAAUUGUUUCAUAAAAAACACAUAAAAAGGCUAUUAAGCCCAUUAGCCCCCCACGAUAGGGAUUUAACCUAUUAGCCUCUGUUAUUUAGCCUCUCCUGUGCUUCGUUUCUGAAUCCGCCACUGCACUCCUCCCUCCCCCUCUCCCUCUAACUAGCAUGGUGCGGUAGUGAGAGAUGGCGGAGGUAGCACCGGGACCCGUAACCAACAAUGAGCUGAACAUAUAUAUAUAGUGUCUAUCUUCGUUCAGCCUCCCCUUAUUAAGGCCUGCAACCAUAAGAACAUGUAUGGAUCAAAUCUAAAUCUCAUGUCUACAACUGUAGGAACAAUUAUGAAUCCAAAUCUCAAUCUCAUAUCUACUAGUUGGAUGUGAAAAUUUAGACGCAACCAUUGAAAUUUAAAUGUUAAACUUUUGACGUUGCCUCUAGGCAGCCCACAAUGAGUCUACCUUGCCUCCAAGCCUAGUCCGCCAUAGGUAUGUCUUUAAGCUCAGCCCACCAUGGGUUUGCCUUUAAGCCCAGCCACCGAUGGGUCUGCCUCCACCUAAGCCACGGUCUAUGAUGCUAAUUAUGUAAUAAAUUGUUCGCCUCAUCAUUGCCAAAGCCUCGUGAUAAACCUAAACCUCGCUGCUGCUAAAGCCUUCAUAUAUCUAAUAUCCCUUCGCCAUCCACUGCCUCUUCUCUACCAUCCCUUAGCCUCCACCAUGGUCAGGUUUUGGGAACCAUCUUCCUACACAUGUGAGACUUCCCUUUGAUCAUCUAUAUUUUACUAGAAUCGUGCCUGUGCGUUGUAACGGGAAAAAGAUUUUGUUCUAAUAUUUAUAUUGUACAUCGUUCUAAUGUUUUCACGGUGUUCACAUACAUUGGCUUCAUACAAAAAAAUCAUGCAUUAUGAGUUGCGUGAAAGGUUCUAAAAAAGUCUAUAUUGUUAUCUCCAACAGUUUAUCUAGAAAUGUUUUUUGUUAAGACAUAUAGGGCUUGAUCUUUCCUGUUAAGAAUGUAUUGAUUAUAAUGACAUUUUUUAACUUUAUUAUUGUACAUAUAUAGGACAUGGCUUUAGGGACACUCACAAGGAAAAGAAGCUUCCAAGUUCAUACUCUGUUUCCAUUGCAAACGUUCUAAUUUGCUGCCUUUUCUUUUCUUGGCACAAACUCACUUGCCAAAGCAAUCGCACUUCAUACAGCAUUACGUUGCAAUGAAAUGAGAUGAUCGCGGGAGAGGAAAAAAAAAGUAGUCUGCAUUCUGUCCUAACACUGCAUGUGUCGCCUAGAUAGAAACGCAGGGCACGGCGGAGGGACGCCAAGAUUUCGCCGGCCGUGUCGUCUCCUCUUGCUAGUCCCCGUUCGCCCCUCGGCCGUGCGCCGGCGAGGUGUAGUAGAAGGUGACGCCCCUGCCGUUGGCCGCCUGAAGCGGCCUCGCGUUGCUCCUCGAGUCCUGCACACCAAACAAAAAAGCCACACACACAUCUUUCGUCAGCGUAUACACACCACCAGUGUACUUACUACUGCAAACUCUUCGACGCAAUGGCCGGCGGUGAACGAACGGAUGGGUGGGUGCUUACGUCGUCGACGGCGUUCCGCAGCAGCCUGAUCUGGCGCCGCGUCACCCUCCGUGUCUGCACGCAGUGGCGAAGCUAGAGUAAAUUAGAGAAUGAUGCAGUUCUCUAGCAAAUAUGAAAUUUUAAAGUGUAACAAUGAUAAAAUUUUGAUUGUAAUAGUAGGUUAUUUUUAAAUUUUUAUGCUGGGUACAUGUACACCCACAACUAUGAACCUAGCUUGUGCACGCAAGUGCGCGCCACGUCACACACACGUACAUCGCCGUGCACCUCUGUGUGUAGCUGGUUGCUCGUGCAUGGAUUUUAGGAUUUAUUAAUUACCUGGUGCGCGACUAGCCACGUGACGCCCUCCGUGCAUGGCGGCGUCGUGAAGGAGCCCAUGUACUUGUAGUAGGCCAAGCUCCGGCUCACCGGCCGCCGCGGGUCCACCUCCUCGUCGAUGAGCUCCUCGUGGUCUUUCCUCCUCGCGACCCUCCGGACGUACCUCUCCAGCUGCAUGCACACAUAUAUACACGCAUGAGAUCGAUCAUCACCAAUUUGGUUGGUUGGUUGGUUGGACCGUCUUGUUCGUUUGACUGAUAAGACAUGACAGUGUACUGUUGGCUGAUUUAUUGUGAGAACCCAAGUAAACACAAAUAUUACCCUGCGAAUGGUCCUGUCGCGAUGAUGCCGCGAGACCCUGUAGAGCUGCGAGACGACGGCGUACUUGUUGUUGUUGGCGUCGCUCUGGUGCAGCAUGUGCAGCUCCAGUGCGUACCUGCGGCCGUUGAUGGUGUGCUCGCUCGGCGCGUGCCAGUGCAUCUGCCGGAGCCUGUACGCCACGCCGUCGACCACCACGCCGCCCGGGUCCGUGUUGAACCUCACCUGAAGAACACGUACGUACGCACAUGCAUGCAGAUUAUUAUUAGUUAUAACCCCUCUCGGUCGUCGUCGUCGACGACGAGAUAUAUACUUGGCUACUGGUACGUACCAUGAUGUCGUGGCCGCGGUUGACGAGGGACGCGGCGGCGGGGCGGUAGGAGCGGCCUACGUGGCCAGGCCGGUCGCUGAGCCCCGCCACGGUGUCGGUGAGGCCGAUGGGUGACUGCAUGAGCCCCACGGAGCACGUCGCCCAGUCCCUCCGGAUCAUGCCCCACCGCGCCGGCCCGUUCCCGGCGUCUCGCCGGUAGCUGAAGUCCUCCUCGUCUUCAUCCACCGAUCGAUUCCCCAGCCCAGCCAUUGCAACGCAUCAAUUAAUGGAAACCAUGCACAGCACAGACGACAGCAGCACGGGGAGCGUGCAGUGUCAGUGUCACAAGAAGCAGGAAACGACCGGAUGCACGCACGCAUGACAUGACACAACGACCAGCUGCUGCUACCGGUAACUAUUAUGCAUUAUUCAAAACAGAGCCGACUGACUCGACUCGAUCGGUCACUCACGGCGCUGCGCGCGUGCGUGCGUAAACCAGCUGGACCCGGGACGCCUACCGAGCUCCUGCGCCGCCGCCGCGCCGAAGUGGCGGACGAGCAGCUGCAGCGAGAGGUAGACGACGACGAAGGCGGCGGCGGUGGCCAGCCUGCUGCUGCUCGGAGCCGCCGCGUACGCGUACAUGGCGCGCGGUCGUCGCUUUUUUAGUGCGUGUUCUGUGUGUGCUGCCUGCUAGCUAGCUGCUGCUUGGGCCGUGGUUCAUGUGUGUGUGUGUAUGCGCAGGCAAGAAUAAGGGAUCGCCUCGCCGUGUGGUGGGGGGGGCUAAUGAAGUAGCCGUGUCCGCGAGCACGCGCGCGGGGCGGGGCGGGGCCGGGAGAAAGCGCGUGAUGAGGGCGCCGGCCGGCAAAGGCGGCCAGUCGCGCGUUGCAUGGUGCAGGAGCGAAAAGGAUCCUCUUGGGGAUGUAUUGUAUAUUGAGUGCCAAUUUUAUUUUUUCGAGCGGGCCAAAUUCUUAAAAUUUUCUGACAAAGAAAUGGCAUUUGUUUUGCUUUUCAGAGUGAAAUGAACAAGAACAUGAACCGAAGAGUGCUGUAUAUUCAAAAAAAAAAAUAUAUUUUGCUCGGCGGGCGCAUCCCGCGUGCACGGAACCCCACAUGGCACGUGCCUGAGAUACCUGACGAAGAGAGCAGAUGAACACACCCUUAAUUUAAUUCGAACCAAGAAUAACAAAAACUUAGAGGUAUUUGGUUUGAGGUGUUAAAAUUUAAUAAGUACGAUAGUAUUUUCAUUUUAUUUAAUAAUUAGUGUUUGAUUAUAUAUUAAUUAGGUUUAAAAGAUUUGUGUCACAGAUUAUUCUCUAGUUAUGUUUUUAUUUUAGUAAAUAGUAAUAUGUAUUUAGUACUCCAUGUAUGUAUCUAAAUAUUCAAUGCGCUGUGAGUUAAAAAAAAUUAGCAGGAACCAAAUAGGGCCGAAGCCUCGUAUUGGAAUGUGGUCGGUCAUCAACGAUCGAAGAAAGACAUGAAUGUUUGAAACAUAACACCUUAGGGCCUUGUUUAGUCGAGAAAACAAAAUCUCAAUAUCCGCCGCGUGACUCGUUAUCAAGGGUUCACUUGAGUUUUUUUUAUCAUGUUCAUAUUAGGUUAAAGGCACGAGAUGAUGUUUUUUCCUUGCAUAAUUGCUAGUCUCUUUCAUUCUAAAUUAUAAGAUAUUUUUUUUAUAAAUACAUAGUUUCUUAUAUGCACUUGCAUAUACACUAUAUCUAGAUAUAUAAUAAAAAUAAUGUAACUAAAAAAACCAAAAUGUCUUAUAAUUUAGAAGGGAGAGAGUAUUUAUUUAUUUGUAAACUGAUCAUAAAUUAGCUGGUUGGGUUCUUUGUGGUGGAAUCUAUCCACUCGGGUUUAAGUUCUCAACUUGGCACGAGCGCUCGUUUUUUCCUGGAUUUAUUUCAUGAUUUAACGGCACAUGCUUUUAGUAAUAAGCGGCGUCACCAUCGACAGUGAGACGUUUGUGAUGACUUCGUGAAUCUCGUGACCUGUCGACUCAGUCCUUCGGAGGUACUCAUAGGGGUAGAGUUUAGGUACAUGUAUUUAUAAGGGUGAGUGUGCGUGAGUUGUGAGUGUUUGCGUUAUACUAUGUAAUUCUAAAAAAAGAGUAUUUAUUUAUUUAUUUAUUAUCAUAAUAGCAUGAUGGGUAAGUAGAUGAAAAUUUAAGGGGUAACUUUAUGUUAUGUUUUUGUAAUGGAAUAGGUGGGUAGUUUAGAUGUAACUCUAGAGAUUUUCUUUAUAUACUUUCUUCAUGACAAUAGAUGUGGGUAAUGUUUAAAAAAACAUAUUAGAUCAAACUAUUAUUAUUAUCAAUGGUAAUUAAUUAGAAUCUAAUCAAUUGAUGACUAUAUCUUUUUAAUUAUUAUGAUAAUUUAUAUUCUUCUCAUUGGGUACCUUCUAGCUAGCUAAACACUUCAUAUAUUUAUUUUUAAGUAUAUAAGGUCGGAUCGGAUGAACAUGCAUAAACGUUGCUGGCCUAAUUUCGUUCUCUGAGUCUCUCUUUUCUCAUUGGGCCAACCACUCACUAUGCUAACGAGCCCAGUCCAUCAAGUGGCCUCAGAGGCCCAGGAACAAUCCCGUUCAUCUCUCCACGUAGUCCGGCCACGCCGCGUCCUCGUUCUCGAAGCGAGAUGCGUCGCCGCCGCCGGCGGUCCCGAGACGCGAUCCGACGGCGGAUUUGGCAUCAUUCCAGCGAGGCGCUCCACGCGGAAGAUCGAGGAAGUAUCUCCAGCGGCGAUGCCUACGGUACGUACCAAACUUUUCACCCAGUCCUCGAGUAUUCUCAAUCAUGUCAGCGCUCUUCGAGCAGUUGUUAGAUGCUUUUGGCAUUUUAUUCUGACCAAACUGAUCAACCGAAAACAAACAAACAAACCAACCAGCUCUAGCUCCAACCUCAAACAACGAAGAAUCACGUUUUUGUUUUCCACACCUGUGUCAGGACGAACAGUAAGAUAUUCAGUUCUGCCUCGUGUCUGAAUUCUGUAGCAUUUUAACCUCUAAGCUGUUUUCAGGCAUAUAAUCUGAAACAGUCAUGCUUUUUUUUUUGCGAAAUGAUAUCACGUGUGCUAAAUCUUGUUGUCUUAGCCUGUCGGAUCAUGUGACAAAAACUGUUCUGUCGUGCCCUGUCGCAUUGUGCAUGACCCUUCUCUGAAACUGGUAGGAUUCCAUGACGAGCCUGUAGCUAAAACGAGCUAUGGCCUCCUGGGGGAGUGAAUGGCAGUUGUAAAAUAUUGAAUGUUCAGUGCCGCGAUUCCCUUCACUCGCAUUGGUUGCGCACGGUUUUUUGGUUUGUUGCAACUGCAGUCAAAAGUGGCUUAGAGAGUCUUGAACCAAGUACUUGGGGAAUAUGGUCCAGCCGACCACGCAUGGGUGAAUUUACUUUGGUUGUUCCUUGAAUGGCAUCUAAGGAUUUAUUUUUGAUCUGCAGUCACAAAAGUUAACUUAGACAGCAUGGCAUCUAUACCAGUGGGCUGUGGCUUCUGUAGAUUACUCUGUUUUGUAUCAGUGUAGUCAAAGGGGACCAUGAACUUAUUAGGGUCAAAACAAUCUUGCUUUACUUUCCUUUCACCUUUUCUUUUUAUGAUAAAGUUUGCUUGUAUCCUAGCUUUUGUUCCUUUGAGAAAGUGAUAGCGGCUGGGACAUGAACCUGAUCAAAAUGGACUUGACAUGUACGCAUGGAAAUCCCAUGCCGCUAUGCUUUUGUUUCUUUCUUAGGCAUGCUGUUCAGGAACAAAAAUGUUUAUGAUGCUCUAGUCAUAAAUUCAACUAAUUCGAAGUGAUAAUUGCAAGAUAAUGGUAUCGAGGUAAACUUUGUAGAUAUUGAGCAGAGGAAUUUACUCUUGAAUCAUAUAGCAUGUACGGGAGGCCUUGAGGAAUCAAACAAAUUAAGUCUGACAAAUUGUCUGUAAUCUGUAAUGUAACCGUGGCUUAAAGUUGGUAACAGUAAGCUGCUAUUUAUUUAUAAAUAAAAGGAAAAUUACUGAUUAUUUGAGGGGUAACAGUUGUCAUGCUUUGCUUUUAGAUGGAGAAGUAGAUUAUUUGACAAUGUAGAGUUGAUUAUUGGGUGGGUGGAUGUUUUGGGUGAAUCUUAUCACACUUUACCACACAGAUAUGUCCUUGUGAUACCCUUGUUUUUUCCAUGUAGAAACCAAACAUCCUCAAGUAAAUGUAGGGUCAAUGGUACUUACCGAAAGGGGGCAACCAUACAAACAAAAUUAAGAUAGCUUGGAUCCUUGGGAUUAGGCAAAAACAUGAUUAAGCUAAGAUUUUUUGACUUUGUUCUUACGUUCGCAUAACGUAUGGCUGUUUUUAUUUCUGACCAUACCUGUACUCAUUCAGAGUUAGCAUACCAAAGAAAGGUUUGUCAAGAUCAUAACAGAGGCAAGAGGAAUAUAUCUCUGCUGAUACUUAGUUGUUCUACAUCCACAAUUUUUCAGUUGGAACUGCAAUUUGUUUUUGGUUUAUAUCUGGUGAUAAUAUCAGAAAUUUUAGUUAGGAGUUUGCUUUUCGACCUACUGUCCCAGGAUCUCCUGCUACUUUUUACUUUAUGCAGAUUUUCUUUAGGUCCUGAUUUUUAACUUUGCUAGCGGCAAAUAUUAACUUAUUCAUAGUCUCCAAAGUUUAUGAUUAAGUGGAUGGAUCCUUUACGUUUCUAGUGACUAAUAAAGCUUGCAAAUCUAAGGCAUCUACCAUGCGUAGGGUCCAGUAAUUAUUAGUAGUGGGGAUUAUUGGAGGAUUUUGGUGCAAGGCUUCAUCAUUCUCCUCAGUGCAUACGUAAAAUUCUUUUCUGAUCAUGACACACAUGUCAAUGUAGUUAUUUCAUAUUGUCAAGUUUCGCUUUGACCCAAUUUUAAUUUUUUUAGAUAAAAACAAAAUUAGAAUUCGAGGGCUUAUUAUUAUUACAUGAUACAGUAAUGUAUAGCAUGGUGCUAGUGUUGUGGCGGUGCUGCUACAUAUUCAAAUUUGAAAAGUCUCAUAGUUUAUAAGUUCAGUAUACAGUUGACCAAAAUUUUGCCUUUUGACGAGUGCUUUUAUUUAUUUACACUAUUGCAAUGUGUGUUCUAAUAAUAUCCAUAGACAGGUCUGGAGCACCGCAGCCUUCCAAGAUGCCAUAAGUGCUGCUGGUUUCCAGCUCUCUACUUCUUCCACUAAGCCUACAAAGUUUAAUGUCACCAUCAGUUUGAUCCAGAGCAUCUUGAGCAUUAUCAUCCUUUGUUGGACCCUGCCUUGUUCCAUUCAAAUAAUAGCCAUUAAAAGUCCAAGACACUUUUUACACAAAUAUAUUCUCACAGCUAGAGCAUCAAGAAAAGGCCAAAGAAGAUUUGAAGUAUAGGAAUGAUAGUUGUCUCUACGAUUAGGAUCGAAAAGAUUAACUAAUCGUUAAAAGUGGUCUGGGAUAAGGGAAUCUUGGUAAGUUGCCAAUUAAAAAUUGAUGGCUAGCUUGGUUGAGCACAUUGGUUUUUUGACUUUAGUUCCGUUCUUAUCACAUCAAAGUUCAACUAGAUUACGUGACUAGCUGUAGGGAAGAUCAAGUGAAGCAUUAAAACCUAUUUAGGAAGUUCAAUGUAUGCACAGCCUGCACUUUGCCUGUGUGGAUGGACAUGCCUUUAAGCUCCAUGAUGCUUCUAUAGCUUCUAUUAGUUGCCCUCUUGGACCAUGCAUGUUCUAUAUUGUUCAUGAUGUUGUGAAUAUAAAUAUGUUAUAUAGCUAGGAUAAAUCUAUAGAUUGGGGACUGAUUUGACUUGCUCCCGUCCAUUUCAUUCAUAUUUUUUCUUCUUCUUGGUGCUGCCUUCCAAAUGAUGGAUUCGCCCUUUAAAUCUGUAGCAAGGUUGAGUGUUUAUAGGGGGACCAAGACUGCAUUUUGCUCUAAUUGUAUAUUUCUCAUUGGUGCUAAACCAAACUUAUAGUGCAAUACCCUCCUACGUACCUUUGACUUUGGAUGUAUGAAAUAAUCCCUACCUUACAUUCAUCUUUUUGUCACCUUUUGACGUUUCUACGAAUCAAUCCCCUUGUGGCACUGCAUCUUAUUAUUGUACAUAGACAUGUUAUGUUCAUCAACUUUCUCCAUCCAAAAAGGGUAUAAUUUGAGAUUUAAACAAAUCAUUUUUUCUUAAAUUUGACUAAUUAAGUUUAUACAAAAUAAUAUUAAUAUUUAUUUCUUCUAAUAGGCUUACUAUGUAUUUAGUGUUAAUUAAUAUCAUAAAUGCUAUUUUUGAACUUAAAAUUGUUGACGAAAAUUGCAUCCUUUUUGGAGUAUGUCAUCUCUUGGUCAAGCUACUUGCAUAGCAUUUUCUCCUCCUAAAGGAGGCAAUCUUUUUUGCACAAAUAAGUAGAAACGAUCGAUUCUUUUUGAAAGAAUCACAGAACAAUUCUGAAUACUUGUUUUUAGGCAGAGGACAAAUCUGAAUGCUGGAACCACUCGUUCCAAGUUCCUGUCAUGUCCCACAGCUGGCCGUUGGGCCCGCUAGUGACCACGCCUACAUUGCAUUUUUUGGGGCAGGUAAACAGCUAGCUACCUUUCAAAGAAAAAAAAUUGAGAAAAGAAUCUGGAUGUCAGUUUUGUACGAAAACUAUGGUUUUAGUGACUAAUAAUUUACUUCUUGUGAUGAUUUAACAAUGUAUGGCCACUUGGGAAUAUUCAAGUCCUAAACUAACCCUUGUCUUUGUUUUCCAGAAAAUAGGCAGACAAGUUCAGGAGAAACUUACUCGUUGGAGGAAUAUGUUUAUGUUCAGAGAAACAUGAUCUUGGGUUGCUUUGCUCCGUGCUUAAGGCUUGUCUUCAAAAUCCAAAAGCUGGUUGACUUUAUAUUCGUAGACAAUGCUACUAGACCGUGCAAGGUGGCCACAUCACGGAUCUUCUGUGAAGUGCUUCUGUAAACAACCAUUGGGUGCAAGGUAUUGUUCUGUGCUACUGACAGGUCCAAGCUUGCUGCUGCUUGUUCAUCCGGUUCAUCUCUACUCCACAGGGCAAGUUGGCCUCUGGGUCUUUUCACGAUUCCUUGUGAUUCAGGUCAGACAACUAAUGAGCUAAGUUUCUCUAUAACUUUUUUUUUACAACCCUUGCUCCUCAUAUAUUGUUGUUUUACUUGUCUAUAUACCAGUAAGUAAACUAGGACGCAAAAUGAUUGCUGACACUGCACGUACAGAUUUAUGACUUUUAUUAACAUUGUUGCUCCGUGUUAACUUGAAAAACAUAUGUCAAAUAUACUCGUAGCAAUAAUAAUCCAUAAUAGUUUGUGUGUUCUUUCUGGUGUAAACUGACUAGUGUUCAAAUGACGCAGGAAGUAGUUUUACUUGACCCAGUCUCUAUAGCUUAGAGAUUUGAUCCAAGUACUAGUGGAGAAACAUGGUUCUAGGCUCUAGUAUCAACCCACAACAUCAUUCUCUCUGGUAACCUUACACGAGGGCAAGGCACCUAGAUAGGCAAACAAAUUACACUAGACGCGAAACAACCGCAGUGGAUCCUUUCCCCUGCUGUUGUAGGACGACAAGGGCAUGUUUUAAUAAUUACAGCAGCAGGGGACAACGAUCAAUCGGCUGUGAGGCUGCCUGAGUGCCUGUCCCCUCAUAUCUCUCUCACCUGGCGUCCUGGCCACAGGCCACACCGUGUAGUACUACUGGAGAGCGUGGGCUGAAUGCGAUAUAAAAAUUUCAUAAAGAUUUGACGUGACCCUGCACUUGGAGAAUUUUUUAUAUUAGGGCCUUGUUUAGUUUCAAAAAAUUUUGCAAAAUUUUUCAGAUUCUCCAUCACAUCGAAUCUUUAGCCGCAUGCAUGGAGUAUUAAAUAUAAAUGAAAAUAAAAACUAAUUGCACAGUUUGAUCGAAAUUGACGAGACGAAUCUUUUAAGCCUACUUAGUCAAUGAUUGGACAAUUUUUGUCAAAUACAAACGAAAGUGUUACAGUAUCGAUUUUGCAAAAAAUUUUGGAACUAAACAAGGCAGUUCACCUCAAAACCAAAAUGUUUGCAAGAUUCCCCGUCACAUCGAAUCUUAUGGCACAUGCAUGAAACAUUAAAUAUAGAUGAAAAUAAAAACUAAUUACACAGUUUAGCUGUAAAUCACGAGACAAAUCUUUUGAUCCUAGUUAGUCCAUGAUUAGAUAAUAUUUGUCAUAAACAAACGAAAGUGCUACAGUACCGAAAUCUUUUCACUUUUUAGAACUAAACAAGGCCUUAGCGUUCUCCUCCUCUCAAAAAAUUGUUAUUGUUGACUUUGGAACAUCUUAUUUAACCAUCUGUCUUAUUAAUUUUUUUAUAAAUAUUAUCCAUUUUAAUGUAAAUUAUUUGAUCAUUAGAGAUACUUUAAUAAUAAUUUAUUUAUUUUAUAAUUUGAACAUAAAUUUUGAAUAAGAAAAACGAUGCCUCAAAAUAAAAAAUAUUUUUUUUGAGAGGGAGUACAUACUACUGGAUGAAAGGCUCCUAGCCAGGCUAGGCUGGAUAUAGCUCACCCCGCCCCUGCCUGGGACCUUCUGUUCUUUUUUUUCCUACGACUUUUCUCUUCAGCAACCAGCAGUAUGGCAAUUCUGUUUCGGUCGAUUGGUCAGAUCCAUCGUAGUUUGGAGCUCAACCUUUGUACACCUACUGUCGUGUACGGAGUACAUGAGUUGCUCAGGAGUAGUAGUAGCAGUAGUAGGAGUACAGAGUACUGGCUGCUGGUUGUUGAUAACGGAUACUGACUGCCUCGUUGUUAGUGCGGCAUGUAGCUACUUGUACAGCAUUCAAGUGUAUGCGAGCUAAGUGCCAUGAAAAUCAGGCCUUGUUUAGUUCACCCCGAAAUUCAAAAAGUUUUCAAGAUUCUCUGUCAUAUCGAAUCUUGCGGCAUAUGCAUUAAACAUUAUAAAUAUAGACGAAAACAAAAACUAAUCACACAGUUUGACUGUAAAUCGCGAGACGAAUCUUUUGACGCUAGUUAGUUUAUGAUUGGAUAAUAUUUACCACAAACAAACGAAAAUGCUACAGUAGUGGAAUCUAAAAAAAUUCACAUCUAAACAAGGCCUCAGUUCAAUUUCUAUAGGAUUUGAGAGGGAAAACACAAAUGAAACCUUGAUUGGGGUUCAAUUUUUCUUAGGUCCUGUUCGUUUUGCUCCUAAACCAAGAGGGUUGAGAGGGAUUAAAUCCCCUACAAGUCAAAAUCCUCCUCAAUAUACCCUUCAAUCCCUCUUAAUCCCCAUGGGAUGAAAAAUAAACAAAGGCUUUAAAGUUAGUAAAAGCAUAUAUAUAAUUGGUGUCGCAAGGAAAAAUUAGUCCCGUUAAUUGAAAUAUGCUGCCUGCAACAAAGAUGGGUCAGAUGUGUGUGUGGGUGAUAUUAAUGUCUAGUUUAUAUCCUAAUUCUUGCCAUUUAGUUUAUGCUCUUUAUUGUUUUGGUGCUUUACACACUUAAAUUUUUUAAAAGAUAAAAGAUGAACCAACCUUGGUGCAUACAUCCACACCCUCAAUUAAUUGGGCUGGCUUAGUUUCUUAAAUUUUACACAUGUAUUCACAUUUUUUUUAUAAACAUGUUACAUAGAUGUGUCAAAAUCUUUUUUUUUGGAUGUAGUAUCUUUGUAAUAACAUGUACUACCUGCAUUCCAAAUAGCCAGUUUUGGGUUUGUCACAAGUCAACCUAUUUUAAAUUUACCAGCUUCAUAGGAACAGCUGCUAUAUCAACUAAGUAUAUUGUGAGAAUUUAUUUCAUAUUUUACCUAAUGAUACUUAUUUGGUAUUCUAGAUGUUGAUAUUGUCUCCUAUAAAUUUAUUUAAACCUAACAGAGUUUGACAUAGCUAGGACACUCAGAAUUAGCUGUAUAUAUUAAUUAUUAUGGGAUAUGAAGGGAGGAGCUAUUUGUUUAUGAGUAAUCUAGAGUCUUGUAUGAGUACUCUAGUGAGUUUUGGAUGCCUUUGCAUAUCUAGCAAAGGUACGUGGAUCGGAAAGGAUAGCCCGUGUCAUGCAUCACCAGUAUUUUAUGCCAAAGAACUGAGAGCCGACCAAUAGCAUAUUUAAUCUUUUUUACUUCAAAAGUAAUAGCAGAGCAUCUCUUUUCUUAUAGACAUCCUGUGAUUCAUAUUGAAAGUGGAUAUUCGCGCUGGUGAUGAUGAGUUGAUUUCAUGAGGAUGUUUCAAUGCUUCUACACGUCAAACCAAGUACAGUACUUGAUUUGCUAUAUAUGUCUCUAAAAGACUAAAUAAAGGAAGAAAUAAUUAAUCUACUGCACAAGAUUUAUCAUGGAACAAGUUGUCAGAACGACUUUUAAGUUAUUUUGAAGUCCUUAUAUGAGCUUAUCUUCUGGUGGUACAUAUUUAAGUGAUUAACUUCCUAUAUAUAUUAGCUAAUCUAAUAGGGUAUUUAAUAGAAGAAUGUAUGGAGUUUCUUGUUAGUAGUUUCUUGCCCCCGAAGUGAGGUUUCCUAGGUGUUAACUGGUCCUACAUGCUAUAAGCGAGUGUGAUUGCAUAUCACUUCAGCCAUCUAAUAAUCUACAUUAUCUUCUCCCAUUCCAUUUUUCUUUAUUAGCUGAAUCAUUUUCAAUGUGUUUAAAGUUUUCUUUACUAAUAAACACCAUCCGGUAUAGACUACUAAAAUGCCAUGCCUUUUUUCUUUACCAUCACUUCUAAAUGUGUUCUAAGACUUGUCCAAAAGUAAUUAGCAUGCAUGAUUAGUUACCGUCUAACCUAUUACUGAGUGCAUGUAUGCUCCUAGCCGUACAAGUAAUGUCUCUUUUUUCUUAUACACUCCCUCUGUACCUGUAAAGAAAGUGGUUUAGAAUAAUGAUACGGUCUCUAAAGCCUAACUUUGACUCCUUGUUUUUAUAAAAAUAUUUAUCAAAAAGUGGUAUAUAUAUGUUUUUAUAAAAGUAUUUUUCAAGACAAAUCUAUUUAUUUUUAUAUUUCCAAACUCGACAACUUAAAAGUUAUUUAUAAUUUAUAUAUUCCUAAUGUUUGACUCAAACCUUGUCCAAAACGACUUUCUUUUGUCGUUGUCUUCCUAAUAAAGAGAGCUAAUGAUAUACGCCAUGUUCUACAACACUAUUUUAGUAUUACUUUUUAAUGAAUGAACAAUGUUUUUCUCUCCCAACAUUUCAACAUAACCAGCAGCAUAAUCCAAGUUCCUAGCAUAAGCAACAGUAGAACUCUUGCGAACUCAGCUCACCUUUCGUCUUUCAUGGCAUGUGCAAUCGUGCAUGGUACAUCUCAUCAUACAUUACUACAAGAUCUGAUCUUUCUCUCAUGUGAAUCCGUGAGACUGUGACCGCCAGAUGCGCACAUUACUCUGACCCUCUUGACUUUGGUGCCAUGGAGAGAAGAUCCUGAAAGAUGUUUGUUCGUUUGACUUUUGCCUAUGUGUUGUGUUGUUGGGAACUGGGCAAGGGGCAAGGAGUUGUUGGGUGCGAUGAUCUGACGGGAUCGAACUGGAGUGUGUUAGGUCUGCAUCUUUCUUGCAGAGAGCAGAAAAGACACCCCAGGCCAUUGAUGAAAGGCUAGAGUUCUCUACUAUCAAUGGGUUCAAGUGGUUGCUAGUUUUAAGAACCCUAUUUGAGAUGGAAUAAUCCUUUUCUAUCUGUUGCAUUACAUCAGAUGUCAAGUCUCCGACUGGAAGCACAUGGAACAGUUUGCACUCAUAGCAGGUUCAACCAUUGGCUGGCUACAUAGGAUUAGGAGAGGGGAGAGAGACAGAGCGAAAUAGGAGAGAGAAUAUAGAAAAGGCUAUGCAAAAAAGUGGCAGCAAAAAAACAAUAUGAGUGGGGGCGAUAUACCUUUUGUAGAUUUGUUUGCGUUAACAAUUGCCAUGUCCUCUUUGGGCUAAUAUAAUCCUUGUUAGUUUAUCUCUCCUUUUGGCAUGCAUGGACCUUUGGUCCCCAUUCGUCCUUGAGUGUGCUCCCCCUCUCAAUAGCGUGGCUUUCCCUUCCUUCAACUCCACUCAAGACUGUGCUCCUCCUAGCUACUUAAUCUUGAUGCCAAGCAACGAGGCUGCUCCAAACCUCGAUCAGCUUCCUCUUUCUCAUUCUCUCACAAACACAUAGUACUCCUACAUAUCAGGAGCGCUGUUCAUCAAGGAGUGGUCCUGGGAGAGAUGCUGUACCAGCGGGGUUAGAUUUUGGAACAUGUCAAAUCACAGCAUUUGAUGCACCAGGAGGUAAAGUCACAAGUUUUUUCUCUGUUUUUUUUCUUCGUUUCAACUAUUACUUUUAUCUCUACUGUUUGAGUGACGCGUGAGAGAGUGAGAGCCAGCUGCUUCUGUUUGUUGCCUUGCUCACUUUGGGCAUUUCUCACAGUGGUCUCAUGCCAAGUUUCCCCUUCCUCUUCAUGCUACAUGCUUACAUGCCUUGCCUUGAGGUAGUAUGUAAGAGCAUGCCGCGGCAGGGAAGAGUGACUAGAGUAGAUUCCCUUGGUGCACACAAGUUAGCCACAGGCGCCAGUGGUAGUCUAGGGCCUUGCACACAUAUGCAAAGAUCUCUUCCCUCUUGCCACAAGGGAUAAGAUCUCUCUCCCCUAUGACUUUUUGUUUCUUUUGGCCACUGUAUGUGUAUGCUACUUGUAUUGCUCUCUGUCUCUCUCCAUGCAUGCAUAUGCAUAUAUUGCCAUGUACUAUACAUAUUCUGAUGCCAUGAGUAUAUAUACGUGUACAAAAUAUUUUUGCAGAGUUGGAAGCAAAGGGAGGGAUGAUAUCUGCAGCUGCUUGACACAGAGGCACAUGUCCCUUUUGGUGGGCAAUGAUGGUGUGCAGGUGGAGGUGAUGAUAGUUUGCCUCAUCUGGGGACUGAGACAUUCCAUCCAAGGCCGCCCAGUGUCAUGCUGCCUCACAUUCACAGCUUUCACCCCUGGCUGCUGCAAUAUUCCAUUUGUUUGCUAAUGUGUUGUAUCAAGAUGCCUUCGAUGUGAGUCCUCACUGCCCGGCCUUCUCUCUCUCUCUCUCAUGCAUCAGCAUGCGUGUACAUACACCUGCACUCACUGUUGCUUGGGCUAGGAUUGCAUGUGAUCCUGCAAGCAAGAACGUAGCCGCUAGCCAAUCGGGGACGAGUGUAGCUGCAGGUUAGGCCUUGUUUAGUUUCCAAAAAUUUUGCAAAAUUUUUCAGAUUUUCCGUGACAUUGAAUCUUUAGACGUAUGCAUGAAGUAUUAAAUAUAGAUAAAAAUAAAAACUAAUUGCACAGUUUGGUCGGAAUUGACGAGACGAAUCUUUUGAGCCUAGUUAGUCCAUGAUUGGACAAUAUUUGUCAAAUACAAACGAAUUGCUACAAUGCUCAUUUUGCCAAAAAUUUUGGAACUAAACAAGGCCUUACUUGUGGUAUCAACAAGCAUGUGUGUGCAAUGUGCAGCACUGGCAUAGCGAGCGCCAGGUGAGGGUGCGGUGUGCUCUUCUUCGAUCUCGCAUCAGGGCCGAUCGAGCCAUCAAUGGAGAUCCCACCCUGGGACAAAACAUGAUAUGGUUGGAGAGUCGGCUCUGUCUAGUCUCUAUUCACCCAUUUAAAGCAUUGCGUGUUUGUGUGCACACUCACAUAGAGAGAGAACAGACACAGAGAGAGAUGGUAGCCUAGCCGUCCAAAUCGUCAGACUAUAAUACUGUGUGCAAAUCUUUUGGAAAGGGAGCAUCCUGAGGCUUCCACAAUGAUUAAAAGAGUUCCAACUUGCACUGCCUAUUACUAUCAAGAUCAGCAAACAGGUUUCACACUAAUAUAAGCAGCAAGCUAAAACUAGGCAAAUAACAAAACAGGAUUACUGGUAUUAAUGAAAAGCCAUGCAUUCAUGCUAGCUUGCACUACUACCCAACUUAAAAGCGCGGAGAACUAUAAAAGCGUGCAAGACCAGUGUGAUCAUUAGCUAGGUGCAAAUAGAUCGACAAAACCAGUCUUCUUAGAGAAGUUCCUAUCUACUCCCUCCAUACUUAUAAAAAAUCAUAUUAGAUAAGGUUUGGGUCAAAUAUUGAAAAUAUAGAUCAUAAAUAACUUUUAAGUCAUUGAGUUUAAAAAAAAAAGAAAACCAUAUGAAUAGAUAUGUCUUGAAAAAUACUUUCAUACAAAUAUGCAUAUACCACUUUUUGAUAAAUAUUUUUAUAAAAACAAGGAGUCAAAGUUAGGCUUUGGCAAUGUUUUUCUAAACGCUAAACGGUAAACAGUCGGUCACCUCUCAUUUAGCCAUUAUUCGGGCUAAGCAGUCCAUUAAACGGCCUAAACGGAUGAUUAAACGGAAACGGUAAUACCACUGUCUAGCGUUUAAAUGGUCUAAACAGCUGUUUAGGCAAACAGUGGGCUUUGGAGACCACAUCACUGUCCUAAACGCCUUUCUUUUAUAUAGGUACAGAGGGAGUAUUGUCUAAUGAACAAAAUUAUACAUGAUCUUGUCAUAAACUUUUAGGAUGUUAAUUUGUACAGAAAAAACAUUAAUACUGCCCCAGAAAAGUGGACACUUGUCCAAUUUAACUGGUCAAACAAAGGUGCAUGGUAUGGUCACAAGAUGAUUUCCUUGCAUAAUAUAUAAGACACCAUAGUUUGAUUAUGUGCAUUACUUCCACUGGUCAACAACAUGUUACACAAAGAUCAGCUAGUUUCAACAAUUGGAUUGGAGGUAUUCUAUCCUACCUGUUUUCUUCAACCAUGCAUAUGCCCAUCGACACACGAAUAGAUAAUUUGCAAAUUAAUUUCUAUAGUGAUUUGGCUACUUGAAAAUUCAAUCUUGUGUGUAUGUAUUAUCACCAUAUAUAUGAGCUGUAGAUAGACAAGGUUUUCUUUCUAAAUAAUAUUUACUCAAUACUUACGGUAGGAAAUCCUGUACAUUUCACAACUCUUAUGGAUCCAAGCAUUGUUCUGUAGGUUGAGGCCGCUCUUCAACGACAUAAAUGUGUAGUUUGGCUCCUAGCUUAGAUCAUUUUUUUUGUUUUUGUUUAGUGUAAUAAACUUUGUUGUAUUCGGUGCUGUCUAAGACUCCCUUCCCGGCUUGGACUAGCUUGUGUUCACACUUUGUUCCCUCUUAUUAAUGAAAUACGUUCUUAGGCAUGUUUAUAAAAACAAGAGUGAGGUUCAGAUAAAAAAAACAAUAUGGUGACUUUUCAUUACAUUGACAUUUAUAUACUUGAUUAUCCACAUACAUAAACAUUUCUAACAUUCAAAAUUUGUCCAUAGAUAUAAGCAUUUCUUACCUAAUCUGACCCUCUAGUAGCUCCUCUCCCUAGCUCAUGGUUCAUACACCUACCAUUUAUGGCAUCAACUACAUGAAUAGGGAGGAGCUAAUUGCGUGAUUGAGGAGCACCAUAGUGAUUUUCUGUCUUCCUUAAUCUGUCCUAAAUAAAAAUUCUAUAAAUGGGUAUAUUUGUAGCCAAGAGAGUAAGAAACUAUAUAGUUGCUAUGAAUUCAUACAUAAUGGAAUUUUCCUCUCUACCUUUUUUCUCUUUAUAUUGCUAAUUUGAGGUUUCCCACUAUGCUCAAAAUGUCUGUUUAUGAAUAUUUCUAUUUUUGACAAAAUUGACUUUUUCUUUACAUCACCAUUCGCAUAAAAUAGUCACUAGUCUAUUUUAUGGUACAUGGUUUCCGUCUAAUCAACCAUUUACCUUGUUUAAAUACUCAUUUCCCUCAUUUAAAUGUCAAUUUAGUCCAAUGAUGGCUUCAUGGUAGGCGAUUACUGUUAGCAUUCAGUGUCCAAGAAAAAAAACAUCUUUAUAUUCAUAUAAAACUCAACCUUUUGUUUUGCACUUUUUCAUUCAUGCAAAAUUUCAUUGACAUCCCAAUUCAUGCAUUUUCUUGUGUCCUAUUGUGUUAUAUGUUGGCCCUUAGAUCUGUUUGUUUAAGCCCCUUGCAUAAUCCAAUUUAUUUCAGCUUUUACAAUUAGCUUGUAUGUUACCAAAAUGUCACCAAACAACCCAACUCAUAAUAAGUCAACUUAUAACCAAUGUUUUCCUAAACGCUAAACGGUAAACAGUCGGUCACCUGCUGUUAGCCAUUAUUCGGGCUAAACAGUCCAUUAAACGGACUAAAUGGAUGAUUAAACUGAAAUAGUGUACCACUGUGUAGCGUUUAUACGGCGUCUAAAUAGUCAUUUAGGCGAACAAUGCUUAUAACCUAGGACACUUAUGAGGGCUUUUUCGACUGCACUUAUGUGGAGCACUAGCUGCAGUGCUACACAUAAGUGCAGCCAAACAUGCCCUUAGCUUAUAUAAUCCUAUAAGCUAUCUAGAACUAACUUAUUUCAACUUUUUCCCCACACCUAUAAGUUUGAUUGUUUAACUGAUGUUGGAGUAAGCAAACUAGCUCUUAAUAGAGGUGUGUUGUACAUUGUGUUGGAGCACAAGAAACAUAAUAUCUUCGAAGCAUAUGUAAAAUCUAGAAAUACUGAGGGUUAUUUGGAUCUUAUGGGCUACUAACCAUUAGCCUUAGAUUUUGGAUGCUAAAUAGUAGGGCAAAGUAUGAGCUAAUAAGAGAUAACGGAGACUAACUGAUGGUUAGAUCCUAAUAGCACACAAUUGUGAUAAUGGGUUAAACAUGGGGCUAAACAUGAGAGUAGCAUCCAUUUUGUGUAUACACACAAGCACACGAGGAACCAAUGAUCAUCAUCCAGUUCUCCUGGCUGGCUAUGGCAUUGGAUCCAAUGAGCACGCACACGGAGAUAUCCUUACAUUGCUCAUCUGUCCAAUGUCUCUAUCCACCCAUCGUCCCAUCCAUCUGGCUAGCUAGUAGCCUUGUACUCGAUCUUUUUGUUUUUUGUUUUCCCCUUUCUUUAUUAUUAGUUAAGCACAUAUACCACAUAAAUUUGGAAUUGUUGGAUUCAUAUUUGGAAGUAUUUUUCAUAUGAUUUCAAUCGUGAACUGUUUAAUGUAUGAGAUGUUGACAAUAAAAUUAACUGAAAAGAGAAGAGAAGAGAAGAGAAGAGAAGAAAGGAGUACUAAUGUAAAGCAAGCUAGCUUGGCACAUAGUUUUUAGUAGGAGAGUAAUAGAGAUUAGUAGUUUGUUGGCUUAGCGUAACGAGUUAGCUCCAGAUAUGAAUCUCUGGUUGUUUAGGCCCACCAACACCGUACCAAUCCAUGGAAUGUUUUAGUUAGAUUCCUCCUCUAUUCCUUUAAACCUCCCCAAAAUCACACGCACCACGAUCCACCAGAUAAAAGACAACUCUCACUCCUCACCCUUGCUGCCACCUUUCCCCUCCCUUCCCUCCCACUUCUAUUCCUACUAGCUCCUAGAGAGAGAAAGCAUCCACUUCUCUCUCUCUCUCUCUUUCUUACACAAUGCAUCUACUAGUAGCUGCUACUAGUAGCUAGGCUAGGCUAUGGCCGAGUAGGUAGUGGCAAGGUACUGUGUAGGAGUAUAGCUGAUGAGGUGCUGCAGGCCUGCAGCCUCUCAGACUCUCACACAAGCACACCUCUGUAUUUUUGGCAGAUGAGGAUGUACUGUCAAGGAAGCUGCAGCUGCGAGGCUCCCAGCCCCAGCCCCAGCCUCAGCCUCCCCAGAUGCUGCUGCUGCUGCUGGACGUCGUGCGCCCCUAUUAAACCGGCCAGGAGAUGAGAUGCACGUCCUUCCACUCCACCCCCUCAUGCUCCUCGCCUGCCAUCACCGCCGACUCCGGCCGCCGCCGUUCCUCGUCGCGCCGCUGAAGAAGAUUUCAAGAAGCUCGGCCUGGGCGGAACGACGACCGUCGUCCAAGCUAUGCUCAGCUCACUCCACCACCACCACUCCUCCUCCUCCUCCGACACCGACACCAACAAUGGCAACAACAAGAACGGCAGCAGCGGCGUCCUCGCGGCGGCGGUGCCGUCCGCGCGGGACCUCGUGCUGGCCUGCGCCGACCUGCUGCAGCGCGGGGACCUCCAGGCCGCGCGCCGCGCCGCGGGGGUCCUCCUGUCCGCGGCGUCCCCGCGCGCCGACGCCGCCGACCGGCUCGCCUACCACUUCGCGCGCGCGCUCGCGCUCCGGGCGGAUGUCAGGGCCGCCGCCGUCGCCGCUGGCCGCGUCGUCGCCCCGGGCUUGGUGGCUUCCGCCGCUACUUCCUCCGCCUACCUCGCGUUCAACCAGAUCGCGCCCUUCCUGCGCUUCGCGCACCUGACGGCGAACCAGGCCAUCCUCGACGCCGUCGAGGGCGCGCGCCGAAUCCACAUCCUAGACCUGGACGCCGCGCACGGCGUCCAGUGGCCGCCUCUCCUGCAGGCGAUCGCCGAACGCGCCGACCCGGCCGCGGGACCGCCGGAGGUGCGCAUCACCGGCGCCGGCGCCGACCGCGACACCCUCCUCCGCACGGGCAGCCGCCUCCGCGCCUUCGCCCGCUCCAUCCAGCUCCCGUUCCACUUCACGCCGCUCCUGCUCUCCUGCGCCGCUACCCAUCAUCAUCAGCACGUCGCCAGCGGGAGCACCACGACGACCACCAAUUCGAGCGCGGCCUCGAGCCUGGAGCUGCACCCGGACGAGACGCUGGCUGUCAACUGCGUCAUGUUCUUGCACAAGCUAGGCGGGCAGGACGAGCUUGCCGCCUUCUUGAAGUGGGUGAAGGCCAUGGCCCCCGCCGUGGUGACCGUCGCGGAGAGGGAGACAAUCGGCGGGGGUUUCGACCGCAUCGACGACCUGCCACAGCGGGCCGCGGUUGCCAUGGACCACUACUCGGCCGUGUUCGAGGCGCUCGAGGCGACUGUGCCGCCGGGGAGCCGGGAGCGGCUAGCGGUGGAGCAGGAGGUGCUCGGCAGGGAGAUCGACGCCGCGCUGGAUGCCUCCGGUGGGAGGUGGUGGCGCGGGCUCGAACGGUGGGGAGCCGCGGCGCGCGCCGCCGGAUUCGCGGCGCGGCCGCUCAGCGCGUUCGCCGUGUCGCAGGCGCGGCUGCUGCUGCGGCUGCACUACCCGUCGGAGGGCUACCUCGUGCAGGAGGCGCGCGGCGCGUGCUUUCUCGGGUGGCAGACGCGGCCACUGCUGUCCGUGUCGUCGUGGCAGUAGCCCACCACCGCCACUGUGGACGAGCCUUCUACCGUACCUGCCGCGUGCAUGCAUUCAUGCCGCCAUUGCCGGCGGCGGCGGCGACGGACUAGGGUUUGGCUCGCUCUCACUAGUCAUCACUACCGCAUAUAUAGAGCUAGAGUAUAUAUAUGAGAGCAUUGCAUUUUGUAGCAAUAAUAUUGGUGGUUACUUGUUACGUACGUAUUUAGCAAGAUCUCAUGGUGAUUUUGGAGGAUGAUGAUGAGUUUGUUGGGUUAAUUGCAAGGAGGAAACCCUAACCCUAGCUUGCUGUGGUUUAAUUGCUGUUAAUCUUAGCUGCUUGGAUGGAUGGAUGGUUGGUUGAUUAAUACUCUCUUGUUGAUUUGAGGCGUUCAGUUCAUAUAUAGCCUUGCAUGCAUGGAAUGGCGGCAAGUGAAGGGGUUGGCCUUUAGGCUUGGUUAGGCUAGCAAUUGCUUCAAAUCGGCUUUGCUAUAUAUAUCUAUUUCUUCUUUCAUUUGUUUCUCUCGGUAGCUCAUGUGAGCAUUCUAUAUUUCUAUAUACAUAGUUUAAUUACUAAGGAGAUUUUUUUGUCUAUUUUUGUUGGAGACCGACCUAUUGCAUUGUUAUUGUUAUUUGUUAAUAAUUUUGAUGUGAGAGAUCCUGUUACUCUAGAUUGUCCUUCUUCUCGAUACAUAUUUAUUUGAGAGAGGUUUUGUUUAAGUUGGACGUGUGAUCUUGCAGAAUGUCCUCCUCUGACCGUUCUUCAUUUUUAUUCAUGUGUCAUGCACUACCGGAAAACCGGACGUUGCCGUGUGCCCUCAUGUUUGCCGUGAGCAAUACGUCGGGCACACGGCAAAGAGGCGAUUUGCCGUGUGCCACCCAGGCCAACACACGUCAAACAUUCGGCACUCGGCGUUUACGUCCUUCGCCGUGUGCUAAACAGAAGAGCACACGGUGAAAUCAAUAGAUUUGCCGUGUGCCGAAGAAAAACACACGGCGAAAGUUAAACACACGGUGAAGGAGCUAUUUGCCGUGUGCUAGCACGGGGCUCACAGCAAAAUUCUGACGCCGUCGGCCACCGUUGGCUGCCGUCAACUCUUUGCCGUGUGCCGUCGUGACGUACCACGCCCAGUACCUUUUUCGGAAGGUGACCAAGGAACAAGCGAGAACCAUGUCGCUGACCAAGGAAGAAUACAUGAAGGUAAAUGUGCAACAAUAAUAAUAUUUUCCUUAAGUAACCUUUAUAUGAUCUUCUUAUAUGUCACAUGCUUGAUGGCGUGUAGGUUCCUCCGUGGUGGUGCAAUACGAAAAUCCAGUGCUGGGAGAUGAUGGUGGACAGGUGGUUCGACCCUGAGUGGCAGGAGGCGCACAAUCAAGGCAGGGAGCGGCGCGCCAUGAUGCAAGGUCCAUCGCACCAUCAAGGCAGUCUUAGCCUUGAUGCAUGGAAAGCUAAAUGGGUAAGUUGAAUCCAUUUUUUGUCCUAAUGCUUAAUUUGGCAUUACUUAUAAUCAUUGUGUUAUUUCUUUUUCAGUCGAAUGCACAUGGUGGUGAGCAAAUUACCAACUUCCAGGCGUAUGCUAUGGGGCACCAGACCAAGUACUCGACAGCCGCUCGCUAUGACCCAGCUGCCCCCGCUUCGUCGUACAGCAACCCCUCCGUCCACGCACGCCUCACUCAGUACAUAGAGACGGCAAAGGAGGUAUAUGGGCCAGAGUACGAUCCCGCCACCCACGACAUUGAUGGAGAAGUCGUCAUGAGGGCGGGAGGAGGAAAGGUUCGUGGCCGGUACAUGAUUGGCCACGGCAGCUUGGAUUCUGGCGAGGUUCCUAGCCUAUCCCAGAUCCGAGCAAGGAGCACAGGCACGAGCGCGCCCAUACGCCAACGACCAAACACUACGAUGAACAUUGUGGCGGACCUCCAGGUAAUUUCUAUUUUAUUCGCCAUUCAUUGAUUUCGACAUAUGUUUGCUUCACAUUGUAACAUUGCCGUCAAUUGUGUAGGAGCGGCUGGCAGAAUCGGAGAGGCAAAGGGACGAAGAAAGGAUAAGGAGGGAGGAAGAAGCGCAGGCUAUGCAAGCCAGGAUGAAUGCAAUGUACGAGUACUUGCAAAACCUUGCACCUGCUAUUGGUCAACCUCCUCCGCCAGCUAUGUUGUUCCAACCUCAAACUCCUCCUUUCAGCACUCCUGUGAGUUUGGCUUUUAUUUAUAAUUUUUGUUAAGUUCAUAUAUCCGUUGUCACAAAUCACACGUGUAUUUCUAACCUUUGUCUGACACAAGCAACAUAUUUAUCUUGUGCAGAAUCAGUCGGCGGCGUCAAACAAUCCACCUCCUGGGCAACAAGGGGAACAAGGUGGACCGUCGAGGUAGGUGGAUGAUGGACUUUGUGAUGGUUGUGAUAAUGGACUUGUGAAGGAUGUGAUGUACUUGUGAAUGAUUUGUGAUGGUUAUGGACAUUUGAAGGAUGGAUUGUUAUGGAUUUGUUCGGAUUUGUGAUAUAUAUGUCGUAUGUGAGCUCUAAAUGUUAUUUGUGAUAUAAAUGUGAUCUGUGAUGGUCUGAGUAUAUAUAUAUAUAUGUGAUUUGUGUGUUUCUUUUGAUGGGGAAGCAAAUAAACAAACCAAAAAAAAAAUUUGACCAAAUUCGCCGUGUGCAGCACACGGCAUAGAGGUCCUUUGCCGUGUGUCCGCGGCAUGGCACACGGCAAAGAGGCCUACCAGAGCCACCUGGGAAGCGUCUUUGCCGUGUGCCGCAGGAUUUGCCGUGUGCUGUAGCCACGACACACGGCAAAACAGGCCAAAUUCGCCGUACGUUGCUCACGGUAAAGAAAUCUACCGAAACUCUAUUUAAAAUUAUUUUCUGAUUUUUUUAAUACACACUUUGCCGUGUGCUGGCUGAGUGGGCACACGGCAAUGUUUAUUUUCAGAUUUUUUUUAAUGAAAGGUUUGCCGUGUGCUGCCUGAGGGGGCACACGGCAAAGACGUUUUUCUUUUUUUAAAAAAUAAUUACUUUGCCGUGUGCCCGGUGAGCUGGCACACGGCAAAGCUUGCCGUUACGCAGCCCGCGGCGUUAAGUCACUUUUGUGUGCCGAGUGCCGUGCCAAGCGCACGGCGUCAUGUUUUGCCGUGUGCCCGACAGAAGGCACACGGCAAAGAAGCCGUUCGCCGACUGGCCCUGUGCCGUGCGCGUUUUGCCGUGUGCCCCUCACGGCGUAAGUUUUGCCGUGUGCCUGAGGCACUUUGCCGUGUGCCCCAGGCACACGGCAAAGCACGCAAAUCCGGUAGUGAUGUGUGUACAAUAGUUUAUUUUAAACUAUAUCGGAGGCAUGGAGGAGGAGGAUCUUCUAGCUCCUAGCUAGCUCACUUGCAUGGCUUGGUUAUAUAAACAUUCCAGCACUUCACUUGCCUGUUGGCUCUUGAUGCCGUUGUUUGUAUUUAUAUCCAAUCAUGCGUGCUUUGGCUAGCACUAGCCAUAAACUAAUGGCCAUUUUGGUAGUCUGUUUGUGUGGGUGUAAUCAUCACUCCCGCGGUGUUGCAACUUGCAACAGGCCACAAUAUAUAUGCAUAUAUGUAUAUAUACAUAGUAGAUGCUAAGACAACCUAGUGUUUUUCUAAUGUGCUCUUGGCAGAAAGAAAAUUGGUGUGUCUCCUCUUCUGCCCAGGGAGAAGGGGUUUGGGUUCUUGUUUUCUGUGUUAUGCCCCAGAUAUGCUGGUAAGCUGUCUUUGGGAGGGCAUGGCAGUGGCAUGAUCCCAUGCAUCAAUGCCAACCCUAAUCCCUGCCCCCUGUCCCCUCAAACAAAAUCAUGGGAUUUCUCAAAACCAGGCCACCCCUUUUGGUGGCCAGCUUGCUCCUACCCGGCCUUAAUCCCCUCUUCUCUCUCCUGGCUAUGUUCCCUGCCCCUCUUCUCUGUUCUCUGCUCUCUGUGAAAAGAUCAUUCCCUUUUGGAAGGCCCCAUCUUCUCUUCUUGAAUUCUUUUCUCUCUCCAUUUCCUUGGGAUCUUUGCAUGCAUGCAUGGCUUCUUAAUUUGUUCCUCAAAGAGAGAACCAUGGUAUGCCCUACUACUACUUUGCAUUUGAUUCCUUCGAUGCUUGCUUGUCUCUCAUGUUUAUUUAUAUAAUAUAAGUAGGUAGAUUGGUACCACUCCUUAAAGUUUAUACCCACGCACUACAGUUAUGUUUGCAUGUAGGAACUUGGGAAAAUGGAAAUUAACAGAAUGAGUGAAAAAGACAGGUACAAGAAAAUUUGCAAGAGUUCUCAGAGCAUCUCUGACUACUUUAUCAAUUCAGAAUUUCGUUCUUUGAAAAAUUAACAUAAUAUAAUUAACAUAUGCUCUUUUGCUUUCUUUUAGUGCGACUUCCAAAAAUGAUAAUAUAAUGGAGGGUUUGCCAGGAUUAUCUAUCUAGACCAUAGAUGUACCAUCGUAUCAUUUUCAGCUUACCUUUGUUAGAAGCAAAUCUAGUUGGUGCUCACAAGAGAAUACAAUUUAUUGUUUGCAAGCAUAACUUUGUACUUCAAAACAAUUAAACAUUACCUUUUUUGGAAGUAUCAAAUAAUUGUUUUUGGUAUAUUAUUAGCACCAGUCCAUUGUAGAAAGCAAGAAGAAAACAAAGAGCGAAAGUAUCUAUACAUUUAAGGUAUAUAUAGUUCCAUGCUUACUCUAGCUUCAAACUGUAUCUAGUAUAUAUAUAUUACUUUUUGUCACGCCGCCUAUUUUUGAACUUAAAUAUACCAUGUAUGCAUCAACCUGAUGAUAUAUAAAAGAAAACAAUGUAAAUGCCAUCUUUCUGCACUUUUAGUGGCCCAAAUUUUAUUUCACAGGAACUAAUUAAUAGGAGAGACAGAUGCAAAAUUUGGUAUUCAUGCAUGCUUGCAAUAUAAUUAUGUGAGCCUCCUGCUUACUUAUUCUUAAACCUUUUGAGGUUAGAUUCAUUUCAAAAUCAUCGUGGAUGUUUCACAUAUAGCAAUAUUCAUCUCUUCAGUAAAAAAAAGUGGGAAAUAUAUGCAUGCUUGGCAGCUAGGUAUUCACAUAUCUUUAAACAAUUCGGCAUUUGGCACAGAAUUUUGGCCGAAGGGGCAGUACAUCCUAUAGUGUUUUUGCUGUUGUUCCUGCAUCGCCAGGGUAUCUUCAUCUCGAUCUAACUUAUUCUACCUUAAUUCCUUUUGUUUGGAGGGACAGAAAAGCAUCUCUUAUUUUAUUUAUAAUCUGUAUCUAAUAUUAAGACAUAAAGAAAAAAAUUUCAGUCGUUUUUUUUUUACUUCCCACACCCACACACACCCUCAUGCUCUUAGUGCUCUCUGUAUGUGAAUUGAACUCAUGACCCAUUACUCAUAGUCUCAUACAAGUUGCUAGAACAAUUCGCAUCAAUUUCAAGACGCUUCAGCUGUCAAGCAACUUAUUAAUUAUGUAUUGGAUGAAGAGAUGACGAUCUUUGGAUAUAUAUUUGAGCUCCAAAUCGUAUCUAAGUGACCGUGCACAACACACACAAGCACAUUUGCUAGUUAUAUGUAUAUACUGCCCCAGCUAUAUACAUACAUCCCAGACAUAGUUAUACGGACUAUAUAUAUAUAUAUAUAUAUAUAUAUAUAUAUAUAUAUAUAUAUAUAUAUAUAUAUAUAUGCCUACUGGAGAUCCUAUAUUAUAUAUUGUAAAAUCACAUCGAGCACAAAAUGUCCAAACAUAACAAGCAGUCAUGCAUGCAUUCGUAGCCUCUUAUUAUAAAAAAACGAGGAAACACAGCAACGCACACUCGCGUAAAAAGGAGUGGCUGUAAUAAAAAAAAACAAGCGUGUUCUUAUCCUCUGAAAAGAAGUGACAAGAAAAGGGAUGUAGGACUGGAUGAAGCAAUUCUGCUAGCUGUCGCAUAGCAAAAAGUUUCUUCAUAGAAUUGUCACUCGAUCGAUCGGUGGAUCAUAUGCAUAGGCUUCGAUUACUCCCUGGAUUUUGAGAGAAUCUUCAACUGAACUUUUUUACGAUAUGAGAGAUUGAGAUGAUGUUAUGGGACGUGAACUUCGUCAACGUCCAAUGAAUCUUUAUCAACAUAUACCUUUGUAGUAAGCUUCCUGAAUGAUUGCCAUUCUUACUGAGUAGCUAGAUGGAGGAGUAGAUAGAUAGAUAGACAUAUAGCACGACCGAGACAGAGAUGGCUCACAUCAGCUAGCUAUAUAUACAGAGCUGCAGCUAGCUUCACCAUUCGUAAUGUGUCACAUGCGUCGUCGUCGAUCCUUUGUAGCUAUGGCACGCGGUUCAUCAUGAGGACAUUUGGCAUCUAGCUUAUUAUAAGUUCAUGCCGGGCGAAUUGUUCUUUUCUAUGUUUAAUUUUGACAGUAGGAUGGUAUUACAUAUAUUGCUUGAAAUAUCGAUCAACAAUAAUUGCCUUAUGUACGUAAUUCAGAUGCAAAUUUAACCACUUUUGUUUUUGCCUUGACGUCAAAUUAAAAUCCGUCACGAAUAAAAGUAAAAAGCAUCGUGAUCCGCAACAUCUUCCCGGCAAAAUCAUGCGUGCUACGGAUAGGCUUAUUAGGAGGAUGCAGAUGCAAUUAGUUGCAGUUACGUACUCCUACAGCAUAUUGAACAUUUCCUUUGCUUGUCAAAGAAACAGCAGACGCAAUCCACAGAAGUCGUCCCGCUGGUUAAGGCUGCCAGAUCAUAAAUUUUGCAGGCUACUGCUGCCUUCUAGUACUAGUACUAGAGAAGCUGAUGCUCUCCCUUGCCAUGCAUGCAUUUACUCUCUCAUGCAUAUGGCAGGGCAGCAGCUGCAUCAGUGACGACAGGCCAUGGAAAAGAAGAAUGUGUGUGUUCUCUGCUGACGCCGCCUUAGCAGCUAUGCUGUGGUGUCUUGUUCUACCAAGAUCAGAUUUUGUUUUUCUCUCAUAAUAAAUUAUCAUCAACAGCUAAAUGUCAGCAAGCUUCUUCAGUGCCAUAGAGGAGUACAGCAGACGUAUGGUGUGCUAGCAUACUAUACUUGGUUUCAAAAAAAAGUGAACCAGUACCACACUAGAGUUUUUCAGGUGUUUUGUAUGGAUUUCAGGCUCUGAUGGGACAUUACAUGUGUAAUGACAUAAUGUGGACACUGGAUAGUACAGGCGCCAUGAUUUCAGUAAGCAGCAUCUACACCAGUAGAAUAGAUGGAGUACUAGGGGCUGCUUCAGCACAAGAUAAUGAGUGCAAGGAAAGGGAAGCAAUGCAACUGACUUGCUUGCCCACCUGCUGCCUGAAUGCCUGAUGAAUGGCUGUGUCCAACAGCUAUGCAGCCAACAGGGUGGUACUCACAGCAUUCACUGCAAUGAUAGGACGACAGGAUCAGCACACAUCACAAUUCACAACUGUGCAGUAGACUUGCCAGAUCUCUGAUGAUUGGAUUCCGCUAGAUUUCUAGAGGAGCUAGCUACUAUCAGCUCUACUAGCUAGCUGCUUACUUCUAGUACACCAUUCGCGUUUCCAUGCAUGAAUCUUUGGGGAGCAUCGUACUGCUGGUAGUAGAAUCUUCAUAUACUCUUCUCUUUAAUCCACACUCAUGCAACCAUGCAUUCAUUGCUCAGAGCGAAGCUCCAUGAAUGAUACAGAAGAUCGAUGCAUGAGAGCAUUGCGCAUCAGUGAUCAAGUGUUAUGCUGCAUCUACCUGCCAGCUAGUCUGCUUUAAUUUGCAUGCCCCAGUUUGGUGUUUGCAGGACACACUAAAUUAAAUGAAGCCGAUCAUGUAUCUACGUAAUUGGGAAUUUUUAAUCUUCGCAAAAACCAAAAGCUAUACAUAGGUACGGAUAUAGCGAACAGAAAAUUGGAUGAUGGUUUGGGUCCCAUAUAUGCAUCUUUGUCAAGGGCAGAGGUCAAUCAGUGCAAUAUGUAUGCAUGCACCGCGAACAAAGUAUAUGAUCUUGGCGUCCAUCAUUAUCUCCAACAAUCGUUACCCAAAAUACAAUACCCAUUUAUCCUUUGGGUAGCGCUACAAGUAAAAGGUUUCAUACCUAUUUUUAGUCUUCUCCAACAACAAGACCUAAAAGACAACACUCUCUGCAAAUAGGUCUCAAGGAGAGAGGAUACCCAAAUUUGGUUAUGCCUCUCCUGAUACCUAAAAUGGGUCUGGUUUUUGGUACUACUCCCUCCAUUUAAAAUUAUAAGUCGUUCUAGUGGUUUUUAGGUAUAUUGUUUUUAGUAUACAACUAAGGCCUUGUUUAUAGUUUCUCACCCAAAAACUUUUCACCUAUCACAUCAAAUCUUUAGACACAUACAUAAAACAUUAAAUAUAGAUGAAAAAAAUAAUUGUACAAUUUAGUUUUAAAUCGCAAGACGAAUAUUUUAAGCCUAAUUAGUCCAUAAUUGAACACUAAUUGCUAUAUUUAUAAAUAUGCUUCAUUACUAAAAACCAAAAACUUUUUGAUUUUUGGCAGCAACUAAACAAGGCAUAAAUUAAUAUAAGUCAUGUCUGAAUAUAUAAUAAAAGCUAUGUAGCUAGUUACUAGUACCUAGAUAAGCUAGAAUAACUUAUAAUUUGGGAUGGAGUGAGUACUUCUUUUUAGGCCUUGUUUAGUUCCCAAAAAAUUUUGCAAAAUUUUUCAGAUUCCCCGUCACAUCAAUUCUUUAGACGUAUGCAUGGAGUAUUAAAUAUAGACGAAAAUAAAAACUAAUUGCACAGUUUGGUCGAAAUUGACGAGACAAAUCUUUUGAGCCUAGUUAGUUCAUGAUUGGACAAUAUUUGUCAAAUACAAACGAAAGUGCUACUAUUCCUAUUUUGCAAAAUUUUUUGGAACUAAACAAGGCCGAAUUGACAUUUCUAAGUUGUGACAGAUAUCUGAUACACUACGAUAAGUAUGAGUGUAUGCAUUUCUCAAACUAUGAGUAUGACUAUGCGCACAUAUGUUAGGGUCAAUUUAAUAGAGCUCCUCGAUCCUACUUUUAAUUCUCUGCAAGAGAAGUCAGGCCUUGUUUAGAUCCAAAAACUUUUUGAAUUUUGACACUGUAGCACUUUCGUUUUUAUUUGGUAAACAUUAUCCAAUUAUGGAGUAACUAGGCUUAAAAGAUUCGUCUUGUGAUUUACAGAUAAACUGUAUAAUUAGUUAUCUUUUUUAUCUAUAUUUAAUGUUCCAUGCAUGUGCCGCAAGAUUCAAUGUGAUAGGGAAUCUUGUAAAGUUUUGGAUUUUUUGGGUGUAUCUAAACAAGGCCUGAUUCUAUGAUUGAAAGUAAUUAUAUUAAUUCUACGAUAAUAUCUAUGUACAAGUGAUUUUGUGUACAUAGGUAGUGAACCAAGAUAAGUUGUAAUAUACUGUUGGUAGUUCCUCCACUACUAGAUUCAUUCAGAAGCGGAAGCUGCUCUCUAAAGUAUAGGUAGCUAGAGAUCUAAGUGUCAAUGGCAGGAUAUAUAGGAUUAAAAUUCCUUAAUAUAUUUUGAUGAAUUUAUGUGUCUACCCUGUUUGAGAUCCAAGCUACCAUUAAAUAAUACAUGCAUAGGCCCAAAUUUCUAUCAAAAAUCAGGCUCGCAAGCACUACUGGAAACUCGAAUACUUCAUUUUUCUGUGAGUUUUUCUCGACACGCACGGAAAAAUUCCAAUUAUUCUGUGGGUUUCAAAAUAUCCUCACAGAAAAAUACAAAUACCCACAAAAUAAUUAUAUGAUUUUUCUGUGCGUGACAAUACACACACAGAAAAAAUUGACACUCACAGAAAAAACACAUUUGGUGUGCGUUUCUGUAAAACGCACAGAAUAAAAAUUAAACACACAUAGAAAAAUUACAAUUAUUCUAUGAGUUUCUACAAAAAAAAAAACAAAGUAAACACACACAGAAAAUAGAACAAGCGCUCAUACUAACUUCAUAUGAAAAAGCGUAGUUUUUCUUUUUAAUCUCUCUCUAAAACUUGUAACUAGUCUUUUGCCCUCGUCCUAACUUCAAAUUUAAUGAUUUUUUUCUAAACUCUAGUAGUGAAUGAAGCUAGAAUGAGCUGCUUACCUUGCGCAUAGUUGAGUCAGCAGGGGCGUGGCGGUAGCAACAUUGGCGAGAGGUCAUAUGGUCGUCCUUGUUAGUAAUGCAAAGGCUCACCAAGGUCGUCAACUUAGGCCUCAUUUGGUUCAUCGUGGUAAACUUUAACUUCCGUCACAUCCAAUAUUUGGAUACGUGCAUAGAGUACUAAAUAUAUACUAUUUACGAAACUAAAGACACAACUAGAGAAAAAUUUAAAAGACGAAUCUUUUGAGCCUAGUUAGUCCAUAAUUGGACACUAAUUGCUAGAUAAAACAAAAAUACUACAGUGUCCGUUAAAUUUUAACAUCUCCAACCAAACAAGCCCUUAGGCUACGCCGGACGUGAGCAUGGGUACUGGCGUCGACGGCAAGCGAACACGCUAGUGAGGAGGAAUAAGCAUCAUCGGCACGAUGAUAAGCAGGAAUAGUGCUAAGGAGGAGUGGUGAGGAGUAGGCGCGCCCAAUACCACCAAUUGAUGGAGGCGGUGAGCGUGUGUAGUGAGACACCCCCAAAUUGGUGUCAAGGGAAUGGAAAUCCCAAUUUUCUAACCCCAUGUGGGACGACAUAUGUAUUGGACGAUGCCAUCCGCGUCAACUGCUAGAUACGACCGGCGGUGAAGCUAGUGAACACCAUUGAUAGAGCUUGGGAUGAAUGUACAUGCUUAUAUAGAGAGCACUAGACACAUGACAAACCUAAUCGCAAUGAGCCUAAUGUAUGAUAGGGUGAUGUUAACAUAUUGACCGCAGUAUCAUGCGGUGUUCGCUAAUAAGGUGCACAAUUUGAACUUCUUGCAUGUAUUCUAAUUGAAUGAUAUCUAAUUGGAGAACUUAUGUGCUAAUGUUGUCAUGACCCGAUGGUUGUUCCAAAUUAAAACCUUGUGAAAACCCCUUUAGAAAACCCAACACUUCAAUCGACAAAAUAAAAGGUCUGAAAGAGCAUCUAGGCCCCUAAGUGAUUUCGGUGAUUAAUGACAUUGUUGAGUACUAUGACUAACGUGUGUUUUGCAGAGGCAAAGUCAUAGGUAAGGUCAUGGUAAACAGGGACUCGAUGGACAGGGACGUACAUGCCUACUUAAUAGUGGAAAUCGUUUCGGUUUUCAAAGGAUGGAUGUACAUCGUCAAGACUAGACUAGGUCUAAGUGCCAUAUGGUGAAGAAGGGCACUUAGAGUAGUUUAGGACCUUGUUUUUCCUUUGACCGUACUAUUAAGAGGGGCUUUGAUCUAGUAGCUUGACUUAGGCAAGGCUUUAGGUUUAGGUGUGGUGCACACUUGGUAAACCUAGCACUAGGCAGCUCAGAGAUAGUCCUUAGAUCGAGAGGAACAAACUUCGUGUUGGAGCGAUCGCGUUUCGACGAAGUUUGGGUGCCCAAAGGGGCACCGGACGCUGCACCGGACGCUCUGUGAGUGCGUCCGGUGAGGUCCUUAGCCGUUGGAACAGUUUGGUGCUUAGGGUUAGGCACCGGACGCUGGCACCGGACACACCGAGCAGCGUCCGGUCCCUUACCCAGGGAGCUUGCAAUGUUUCCCUGAGCACCGGACGCUAGCACCGGACGCACCGGGUAGCGUCCGGUCCCAUGCGCAGGGAGCAUGUAAGGUUUCCCCGAGCACCGGACGGUGCACCGGACGCUGAGAGUUAGCGUCCGGUGACCUGUCAGAGAAAAGCGCAGGUAGCCGUUAUGUCACACCGGACGCUCCGUGCAGUGCGUCCGGUGCAACAUAAUGUGCGUUCGGUGACCCCAUUUUCAGUGAAAAACGGUUGGCGGACCUUUGGACUUCGUGGAUAGUAUUUAUACUUCUCCACCUCGUCCAUGAGACCUCUCUUGUCCAUUUGAACAUCAGAGAAACUUGUUGUGGAGCAAGAGAGUUGCAAAGAGCCUAGAGAGGAUUGGUUUUUGAGUGAUUUCUUGAGAGAAUCCUCCUCUAGUGAGUUCCAAGAGUCAAGUGUGCAUCCACCACUCUCUAGAGCCUUGUUUGGGUCAAGUGAGAGUUCUUUGCUUGUUACUCUUGGUGAUCGCCAUCACCAAGACGGUUCGGUGGUGAUUGGAGGCACGAAGACCACCCGGAGUUCUUGUGGGUGGCUCGUGUCAAGCUUGUGAGCGGUUUUGGGCGAUUCACCGCGACGGAGUGUCGAAGAAUCAGCCCGUAGAGAGCACUUGGUCCUUGCGCGGACCAAGGGGGAGCAAGACCCUUGCGCGGGUGCUCCAACGAGGACUAGUGGAGAGUGGCGACUCUCCGAUACCUCGGCAAAACAUCGCCGAGCACUUUCUUCCACUACUCCUUUACUUUCUAGCAUUUACUUUGUGUUUUUACAUUCUUAGAAUUGCGAUGCUAGAAUAGGAUUGGAACUAGGUUGCAAAACUUUUUAUCCGGUAGCUCUCUAAGUCACACUAGGCACAAGGGGUUGAAUUGGAGCUUAUAGGUUGCUUAAAUUUUUAGAGAAGCCCAAUUCACCCCCCCUCUUGGGCAUCUUGAUCCUUUCAAUUGGUAUCGGAGCCUAGUGCUCACUAUUUAGGCUUCACCGCCUAGAGAAAGAUGUCUAACGGGGAUGGACCGCCACCCAUGUUCGAUGGGGAUGACUUCCCGUAUUGGAAAAUACGGAUGGAGUCAUACCUUGAGGCAUGCGAUGUAAAGUGCCUAAAAGCCGCGACCGAAGGGUUUGCCCCUCCGGAAAGAGCCACCGCUCUUACUCCACAAGAGCAAGAAAACGAGAAGUGGAAUGCAAAGGCCAAAAACCACAUCUUUAGAGGUCUUUGCAAAGAAGUGUUCAACCGUGUUCGGAGCCACAAAACCGCCAAUGAACUUUGGAAGGAACUUUGUGCGCUCCAUGAGGGAACUAAGAGUGAACGCGAGGAACGCUAUCACCUAGUGAUGAACAAGCUUAAUACAUUUGAAAUGCUUCCUAAAGAAAAUUCUAAUGAAAUGUAUUCUCGCUUGAAUGUCAUUGUAGAGGAGCUAAAUGGACUUGGGCUUACACAAAUGAGUACGGCGGAUGUUGCAAGGAAGAUACUAUGUGUGCUUCCCAUUGAGAAAUAUGGGCACAUAGUAACCGUGCUCCAUCAAGGCGAUCUUUCCACCGCUACACCAACCACCAUAUUGGGGAAGAUCAAUGCUCAUGAGAUGUACAUGCACAUGAACCCUCAAGAUGGCUCCUCAUCGGCCAAGAAAGAAAAGAAGGACUUGGCUCUCAAAGCUUCUCACAAGGGCAAAGCCAAGAAGAUUGAAGUUGAGUCAUCAACUUCAAGUGAUGAUGAUGCAUGUAUUGCCCUCUUGGUGAGAAGAACCACCAAGAUGUUGAAGAAGCUCAACAAGAAUGGAGUCAACUUUGACUCCAAGAAGAAGAAGUUCUUCACAAGUAGCAAGAGGAAGCCCAUCUCCGAGAUGGAUUGCUACAAUUGUGGUGAGCUUGGUCAUCUUGCUCAUCAAUGUCCAAAGCCCAAGAAGGACAAGUACAAGAAGAAGAACAAAGAGCAAGAUGACUCAAGUGAUGAUGAGAAAAAUGACAAGAAGCAAUACAAGAAGAAAGGUGGCAAGAAGAAGGAGCACUACAAGAAGAAAAAUGGCAAGGCUUAUAUUGUUGGUGAUUGGCUCACCGACAUUGAAAGCUCAAGUGGUGACUCCUCCGGCAAUGAAAGUGAUGAUGAGAAGGUUGCCGCUAUCGCCAUCGAUGCUCCAUCACCAUCAUCUUCACCACCAUCUACAUCCUCUACACACCUAUGCCUUAUGGCCAAAGGUGACCGGAAGGUACAAAGUGAGGAUGAGAGUAGUGAAAGUGAUAGUGAAUAUGAAUCACCUUCUUAUGAUGAACUUGUAAAAUUGCUAAACAAAUACACAAAAGUCAUAAGAAAGACUAGAAGUGAAAAUGAAAAGCUUGAACUUGAAAAUGAUACACUUCUAGCAAAGCUUAACUCUAGUGAUGAGCUUAGAGAACAAAAUGAGAUCAUGACCACUAAGCUCAAGGAGCUCAAACUCUCUCUAAAAGAGCUCAAAGAAAAACAUGAUAAACUUGAGAGUGUUCAUGAUGAGCUUAUCACUAGAUAUAGAGCAAUGAAAGAAGAACUAACAACUCUAAAAGCAAACUAUGACAACCUUGAGAUUGCUUAUGAACUUGCAAUUGAUGAAACACAUGUUGCUACUAACAAUGUUGCUAAGCUUGAUGUAGCCACAUCUUGUGAUGACUUACUUGUGGAGAGCACAAGCAAAUGUGUAAAUUGCAAGGGCAAGAAAGUGGUAGUGGCCGAGAGUUAUGAGGACACUAUCAAGCUCAAGGAUGAAAUUGUCAUGCUCAAGAAAGAAUUGCAAGACCAAUCCAAGCACAACACCUUUGUGAUUGAGUCACUUGAUCAAGACAAGAAACUUGCAUAUGAGAACAAGUUACUCAAAGAAGAAAAUCAAUAUCUCAAGCUUGGUUUGAUGUAUGACAAGCAAGAAGAAGAUGAGUCAUUCAUCUUGGAUGAGUUAGCUAGCAACAAUGACCCAAUCAUCAAGAAGCUAACUCAAGAGAACAACAAGCUCAAGAAAGAGAAGGAACAUCUAACCAUGGGGUUAGCAAAGUUCACAAAAGGGAAGGACCUUCAAAGUGAGUUUUUCAUGAACACCGUCAUGAAGAUGGACAAAAGUGGGAUUGGCUAUAAGGCUCAUCAAACAAAGCUCAUCAAGUCUCUAGUCACUCAUGAUCAAGCAAGCAAGCCAAAGCCAAAAAGAUGUUUUGAGUGUGGUCAAGAAGGACACUUUGCUCAUGAGUGUAAGGCACCACUACCACCACCCUUGCCCAAGCAUGCAAGACCAUUUGCCUUCAAUGCUCAUUACAUUGUAAGAAAAGACAAGUGUGGCAAGGUCAAGGUUAGCUUCAUGGGGCCACCAAACAAGCAAAGGCCAAAAAAAAUUUGGGUGCCAAAGCAACUAGUAGAGAAGGUCAAGGCCCUAAGCAAAUGUGGGUCCCAAAAUCUCAAGCUUGAUCUCUUGUGUGUAGGUGAACUACAAGACCGGUGGAUCACAUUGGGUAAUUGAUAGUGGUUGCACUCAACAUAUGACCGGAGAUCCCCGGAUGUUCACCUCUCUUGAUGAAGAUGUUGACAACCAAGAGAAGAUCACAUUUGGUGACAAUUCAAAAGGGAAAGUCAAGGGACUAGGAAAGGUUGCUAUAUCAAAUGACAACUCCAUCACCAAUGUGCUCUAUGUGCAAUCCUUGAGUUUCAACUUGCUUUCGGUUGGACAACUUUGUGAUCUUGGAUUUGAAUUCCUUUUCAAGAAGAAGGAAGUAAUUGUGACCAAGGAAGAUGACAAUGAAGUGAUAUUCAAAGGCUUCCGGCACAACAACUUAUAUGUGGUUGACUUCUCAUCCAAUGAAGUUAAUGUCAAGACUUGCUUAUUCACCAAGACUUCUCUUGGGUGGUUGUGGCAUAGAAGGUUAGCACAUGUUGGAAUGGGCACACUCAAGAAGUUGAUGAAGAAAGAAUUGAUUAGGGGCUUGAAGGAUGUGACAUUUGAAAAGGACAAGCUUUGUAGUGCAUGUCAAGCGGGCAAACAAGUUGCAAACACUCAUCCAACCAAAGCCUAUCUCUCCACUUCAAGAGUGCUUGAGCUACUUCACAUGGAUUUGUUUGGACCAACCACAUAUGCUAGUCUUGGAGGCAACAAAUAUUGUUUGGUCAUAGUUGAUGAUUUCUCCCGGUACACUUGGACAUUCUUCUUGCAAGACAAGGCCGAAGUUGCAUCAAUAUUCAAGAAAUUUGCAAAGAAUGCCCAAAAUCAAUUUGAUGUGAAGAUCAAGAAAAUUAGAAGUGACAAUGGCAAAGAGUUUGACAACACCAACAUUGAAGAAUAUUGUGAUGAAGUGGGAAUCAAGCAUGAGUUCUCCUCAACAUACACACCACAACAAAAUGGGGUUGUAGAAAGAAAGAACCGGACAUUGAUCACCUUGGCAAGAACAAUGCUAGAUGAGUAUAACACUUCGGAGAAGAUGUGGGCCGAGGCAAUCAACACGGCAUGCUAUGCUUCAAACCGGCUCUUUCCACAUAAGUUCCUAGAGAAGACACCAUAUGAGUUGCUCAAUGGGAAGAAGCCCGAUGUCUCAUUCUUUAGAGUGUUUGGGUGCAAGUGCUACAUCUACAAGAAGCGCCAACACUUGGGAAAGUUCCAAAGAAGAUGUGACAUUGGCUACUUGGUUGGCUAUUCAUCAAAGUCCAAAGCAUAUAGGGUCUUUAACCAUGCCACAAACAUGGUUGAAGAAACAUUUGAUGUUGAAUUUGAUGAAACUAAUGGCUCCCAAGGAGCAAGUGAUAAUCUUGAUGAUGUAGGUGGUGAACCAUUGAGGGAUGCCAUGAAGAACAUGCUGGUGGGAGACCUCAAGCCUAAAGAAGAUGAUGAUGAUGUGCAAGUCAUUGAGCCACCAUCCACCUCACAAGGUCCACAAGAUGAAGACAAGGAUGUGAGAGAUGCUCAUGAAGACACCCUAGUCACUCAUGAGCAAGCGGUGGCACAAGCACAAGAUGUUGAUGCUCCACAACCAACCCCUCAAGUGGCACCAAGAAGAACAUCACAUCUCCUCCAAGAUCACUCUCAAGAUCUCAUCAUCGGGAGUCCAUCACGUGGUGUAACUACUCGUUCUAGACAUGCUUUAUUUAUUGAACAUCACGCUUUUGUGUCUCUUGAAGAUGAACCAAAGACUAUAGAGGAAGCUCUUCGUGAUGCGGAUUGGACCAUGGCCAUGCAAGAGGAGUUGAACAACUUCUCUCGCAACCAACUAUGGACACUUGAAGAGCGACCCAAAGAUGCAAGAGUGAUUGGAACAAAGUGGGUCUUCCGGAACAAGAAGGAUGAUCAAGGCAAGGUGGUGCGCAACAAGGCAAGACUUGUGGCAAAAGGCUUUUCACAAGUGGAAGGUCUUGACUUCAGUGAAACGUUUGCACCGGUGGCAAGACUUGAAGCAAUCCGUAUCCUACUUGCAUAUGCAUCAAGUCAUGAUAUCAAAUUAUUUCAAAUGGAUGUGAAAAGUGCCUUUUUAAAUGGUUAUAUUAAUGAGCUUGUCUAUGUUGAGCAACCCCCCGGUUUUGAAGACCCUAGGUACCCCAAGCAUGUCUACCGGUUGUCCAAGGCACUCUAUGGUCUCAAGCAAGCUCCUAGAGCUUGGUAUGAGAGGCUUAGGGACUUCCUCAUUGAGAAGGGCUUCAAUAUUGGGAAAGUUGACACAACACUCUUCACCAAGAAAAUGAAUGGGGAAAUCUUCAUUUGCCAAGUUUAUGUUGAUGAUAUUAUUUUUGGCUCUACUAAUGAAGAUUUUUGCAAGGAAUUUGGUGAUUUGAUGUCCAAAGAGUUUGAGAUGUCCAUGAUUGGCGAGCUAUCCUUCUUCCUAGGAUUUCAAGUCAAACAAAUGAAGGAAGGGGUUUUCAUCUCUCAAGAGAAGUACACUCAAGAUCUUCUCAAGAGGUUCAAGAUGAUGGAUUGCAAGCCAAUCAAGACUCCCAUGGCAUUAAAUGGGCAUCUCGACUUGGAUGAGGGAGGUAACCCUAUUGACAAGACUCUCUAUCGCUCCAUGAUAGGAAGUCUACUCUACCUCACCGCAUCUAGGCCCGAUAUAAUGUUUAGUGUGUGUAUGUGUGCUAGAUAUCAAGCAAUGCCUAUGGAAUCUCACUUGAUUGCGGUCAAGAGAAUUCUUAGGUAUCUAAAAUACACACCUUGCCUAGGCUUGUGGUAUCCCAAAGGUGCAAGAUUCCAACUUGUAGGCUAUUCCGAUUCGGAUUAUGCCGGGUGCCGGAUUGAUAGAAAAAGCACAUCCGGCGGGUGCCACUUCCUAGGUAGAUCACUUGUCUCUUGGAUGUCAAAGAAACAAAAUAGUGUUGCUUUGUCAACGGCCGAGGCGGAAUAUAUAGCCGCCGGUGCUUGUUGUGCACAAAUACUCUACAUGAAACAAACCUUGCUAGACUAUGGAAUAGUACUAGACAAAGUACCUUUGUUGUGUGACAACGAAAGUGCCGUAAAACUUGCAAACAACCCGGUUCAGCACACCCGCACAAAACAUAUUGACAUCCGCCACCACUUCCUUAGGGAUCACGUUGCUAAAGGUGACAUAUCCCUAGAGAAUGUGGGAACAGAAAAUCAAUUGGCGGAUAUCUUCACAAAACCCCUAGAUGAAGCUAGGUUUUGUAUGUUGAGAAAUGAACUUAAUGUGCUUGACCUAUCCAACUUCACUAAAAGAUAAAAGUUGUGUGUUGAAUCUUGUAAAUAACUUUUGCUUUGCAUAUCAUGCAUACUUAAAACUAAAAUUCAACUUGCAUGUAGGGCUUGUCUAACAUGGUUAAGAUAACCCCUUUUGAGUGUGUGAAAAAGCUUAACCUUGGAUCAAACUUGACAAGCACUAGUUUACUUUCAAGUAUUGCACUACAACUCAUUUCAUUUGCAUGCUUGUUAGUUGACCGUUUCUUUUCGGUUAUUCGUUGAGCAUCCGCUGUGUUCGUCCAUAGAUAGGGGGAGCAUUCCAAGCUCAUUAUGUUUCAAACCCCUAGCUUUAUGGCCAUACGAUGCUCCUUGGUGUUUCUCUUGAACUAUUUUCAUAAAAACUACUAAGCCUAUGGCUAAUUAUUUGUGAAAACUUGAGGGUUUGAGAGAAGUCACUCAUACCAGUUCCAUUUGGUGUUUCCUUGUGUGCUUUUGAAGAUGGAACUUGGUUGGGUCAAAGUCGGACGUGGUGCUUAUUUGGAAAAGUGCUCAGAGGAACACCGAACGAUGCACCGGAUGCUGCCUCUGAGCGUCCGGUGCGGUGAGUGCGCCAGACUGUACUCACCGGACGCAGGUACAGUAUCCCUGUUGCGUCCGGUGCGGUGCGUCCGGUGCUCACCUGGUGUGACCUAAAGCACCGGACGCUAAAGCCAGCGUCCGGUGCCCAUCGCCCGGUGCAAAACCAAAAUGCAAACCUCUCUGCGCAUGAGUCCGGUGGUCACCGGACGCGUCCGGUGCCACUUUAAGAGCGUCCGGUGACCCCGCGGUGGGAGCAUAAAGCCCGCGCCCAGGGGCAUCUCACGGCCGAUCUUUUUCCUCCCCGGUUCUCUGCCCGUGCCCGCGCCCUGCCCUAGCGCCGCCGCCGCCGUCGAAUCCCGGCCAUCCGCGGCGUCCUUGGAGGUUCCCCCGUGCCAGAUCCUCUCCGGAGCCUCUCCCUCUUCCUUCUUCCCUUGCGCAGAUUCAAUCUCGCAGUGAUUUGAAGGCUUGAGUGAGUCUCUUAAGUUUCCUGCCCUUAAGGUGUUUGAAUUUUUGUCUCAACGGAUUAGAAAAUGGGUUUUGACUCCGAUCUUCUUCGUUAACCCUGUGCAGCACCUUAAGGAGGAGCUUCGCGUUCUCCGGCAGUUCCCGAUCGUGUCAUCUCUUUCGGAACGCAUCUCGUCCGUGGAUCGUAAGCCGUUCAUGCCCGUAUCUUAUCUUUUCUUGUGAUCCACAGGCUUAUCUCAUCUCUAGUCGAUACGAUUGCUUAUAUAGACCUUAUCUUGUCAAUUCUCUGCAUUACAUUGUUCUCUAUUGCCAGUCAGUUGCUUGUCGGACGCUUGAUUUGCUAUGGCUCGUACCAAGAACAUCAGUGGACCGACAGCCGGCUCAGGAGGUUCCCCAGGAGGCGAUGGUGGAGGUGAUCCUCCUCGUCGUUUCUCAGCGGCAGAGAAAGGCAAGGGAAAGAAGCUGGCCACCAAGAAGCGCAAGGCCACUGACAGAGAUGCAGAGGUCGCAGAGGCAGUUGCAGCAGCAGCUGAGGCAGCCGAGAGGGGUGGUCGUUCUGGUUCUCUGAGGAUUGGGGAUGAUCUUACGCCGCGUCAGAGGCGUGCAGUGCUUGAGGCAGAGGCUUUCCAUGGAUCCCCUCCAGGCACUGUGACGAUUGGAGGAUAGAGGGUUAGGCUUGUGGUCAGGGAUCCAGCUCAGGAGGAUCCAGACACUGAGACAGAGACCCAGGCAGAGGGUCCAGCACAGGAGCAGGAGCAGCCACUCAGGAGGUCGACUCGUGCUCGCACCCAGGCCGUUCCUCGGACCGGCACACCGAGUCAGUCCACUUCCACAGCUCGUGCCACUCCGGCUAGAGGCACUCCAGCUUCCCGCCAGAGGCCAGUCAGGAUCCACCGGGAUUUUACUCUUGUGUCAGCCAGAGAGAUCCAGCAGCUGCGUUUCGUUCCGUUUCCGACCUGGUUUCCAGCUGCCAGGAAUCCCAGAGCCGGUGCCCGCUUCUACACAGUCGUCUAGGAGGACAUCCACGAGGCACUAGUUCGUUCUUAGUCACAGUUCAGGGAGCACAGGGUGAUUGACCUCGAGAUUCUCGAAAACGUGGUCGGGGCAGAUAUUCGGCAGUAUUUCACUUACCUCCACGGACUCCCAGAGCUGCUAGCACUCCCCGGUACUUAUUGUGAGCAGUGGGUCAGAGAGUUCUAUGCGUCAGUGUGGAUUUCUCCAGAUCACAGUUAUAUCCACUACGCACUGGCAGGGACAGACUACAGAGUGACAGCUCAGAGGGCCAGAGAGGUGCUUGGACUGCGAGCCUCUCCCACCAGGAUUCACCAGCUGUGCUACGGGAACGUGGAUCCCCCUCGUCGUCCUCACGGUGGUGAGAUACCACCGGUUGACUUCGUUGCUCCAUGCUUCCGUGCACCUUUUGGGGAGGGCUCCAGCAGGACAGUGGCAGAUUUGACUCGCCCAGCCAGGAUUCUCGACUUUGUGUUGAGGAAGACUCUUCUUCCCAGGACAGGCUACAGAGACGGAUUCACUCGUAUGCAGCAGUGGCUCGUCGCUCACCUUAUCUCCCAGACAGAGUUUGACUUGUGGGAUCUGAUUGUCUCAGAGAUAGAGGACACCAUCUCAGAGAGCUUCAGGGGCCGGCGUCAGUUGCCCUACGCACAUUGGAUCACCCUGCUUAUACUUCGUGCUAGGCCACUGCCCCUGCCAGCUCACUUACAGAGGGAGUUGACAGAGUCCGACACCGUCUUCCCCCACUACGACCCCCGGCAGAUGUUGAGAGCGCACCACGACCUUCGCGGUGCCCCUCCUCCUCGUGCUCCAUGUGGACCGGUGCCCCCACCUUCUCCUAGGGGCACCCGCAGCACAGCAGCUGUUGCAGAGACAGAGGAGCAGCAGGACGUAGCUAUCGGGGCGUUCGCCGAUGCAGAGGCAGAGGGCGAGUUCGACUUCGCCUCAGACAGCUCAGAUGACGACUAUCAGCCGCCAGUGACUGAUCUCCCUCCCAGGGCACACGACCACAAGGCAGGCGGCUCUUCGAGUUCUUCGGACCCCGCCUUGCUAUCUUAGAGGGGAUGAGGGCAAAUCAGCGCCGUGCAGCUGAGGAGCAGGCGAGGCGAGACAGGGAUCAGGCUGCCAUCAAUGCAGCCAUGCAGGCCAGACAGGAUGAGCUCCAGCGUCAGCUUCUCACUUUUCAGGAGCAGCAGCUUGCUUUCUAGGCCCAGCAGACAGCGAUGAUGGCCGCUCUCAUGGCCACCUCAGGGAUUCAGCUACCGCAGAUCCAGCUCCCAGGCACGUCGACUGUCAGGCCACCUACUCCAGUGCCUCAGACUCAGAGCCUGUCUGAGCAGCCGCUCCAGCUACCAGCUCAGAGUCAGCCGUUUCGACGCCACAGCACCAGGUCUCUCAGGGUGCUAUCUCUUCAGGCUUUGAGCAGGUACCGCAGUUUACCCGUCUCCGCUCAGGCUUCACACCUCAGUCAGCUUCAGCGUCACAGCUUGUGUGGGACUCGCAGACAAAUCCGCGCCUCAGCUUCACCUACAGUGCUCUGACUGGUGACCCUACGCCUCCUCCUCUGCAGGCUCCUACAGUCUUUACGGUGCCAGUUACCACUACAGAGCUUCUGUCGUCGUCAGUAGCGUCGUCCGAGCAGCUUGCACCGUCUACUACCGUUCCAGAGAUGACAGCUACAGCGACCGAGUCCGUGCCAGCUUCGUCAGCCAGACUUGAGCAGCCAGCACAGCCUGUGACAGCGCCAGAGCAGACCCGGACCGCUUCUCCAGCACCUGCAGCUUCAGAGGGUCACUCCACCUCCUCUGCCUCGACGGCCGACAGUUCAGAUGAUGCAGCUCGCUUCGUGGCCGCGCCGAGGGACUCUACUGCUCCGUCUCCUCCACCGACUUCUUAGGUUUUUGGCGCUUGAUGCCAAAGGGGGAGAGACUUCGUAGUAUGAGAGUUAGGAGUUAGGGGGAGCUAGAGAGGUUUUAGGAGUCUUCUUGUGAGGAGUCUAUUCUUUUGUGAGGAGUCUAUUCUUUUGAGAUACUUGUUAUGUGUGCUACUUUAUCAUGCAUCAUGUUUACCUUUAUGCAUUGCACUUGUGUGAGAUACUUUGGUUGUGAGACAUGACUUUGGUUAUUGUGAUAUCUUAUUGUCAUGUGUUUGGCUCAUAUUACUUUUUGCUUCCACAUGUCUACUCCGAUGUACUUAUGAGCCUAGUGUUUAUAUCCUGUCGUAUACCACUCAUAUAUUUGGAUGCAGGGUAUUGGACUUGGUUGAUAUAAGCAUUCCUAAUCCUUUUAUUCUUAUUGUCAUAUGCUUAUUGAAACCAAGUCACUUUGAAAACCUCAACUCUUUACUUACUCUAGGUUGUCAUCAAUCACCAAAAAGGGGGAGAUUGAAAGAGCAUCUAGGCCCCUAAGUGAUUUCGGUGAUUAAUGACAUUGUUGAAUACUAUGACUAACGUGUGUUUUGCAGAGGCAAAGUCAUAGGUAAGGUCAUGGUAAACAGGGACUCGAUGGACAGGGACGUACAUGCCUACUUAUAGUGGAAAUCGUUUCGGUUUUCAAAGGAUGGAUGGACAUCGUCAAGACUAGACUAGGUCUAAGUGCCAUAUGGUGAAGAAGGGCACUUAGAGUAGUUUAGGACCUUGUUUUUCCUUUGACCGUACUAUUAAGAGGGGCUUUGAUCUAGUAGCUUGACUUAGGCAAGGCUUUAGGUUUAGGUGUGGUGCACACUUGGUAAACCUAGCACUAGGCAGCUCAGAGAUAGUCCUUAGAUCGAGAGGAACAAACUUCGUGUUGGAGCGAUCGCGUUUCGACGAAGUUUGGGUGCCCAAAGGGGCACCGGACGCUGCACCGGACGCUCUGUGAGUGCGUCCGGUGAGGUCCUUAGCCGUUGGAACAGUUUGGUGCUUAGGGUUAGGCACCGGACGCUGGCACCGGACGCACCGAGCAGCGUCCGGUCCCUUACCCAGGGAGCUUGCAAUGUUUCCCUGAGCACCGGACGCUAGCACCGGACGCACCGGGUAGCGUCCGGUCCCAUGCGCAGGGAGCAUGUAAGGUUUCCCCGAGCACCGAACGGUGCACCGGACGCUGAGAGUUAGCGUCCGGUGACCUGUCAGAGAAAAGCGCAGGUAGCCGUUAUGUCACACCGGACGCUCCGUGCAGUGCGUCCGGUGCAACAUAAUGUGCGUCCGGUGACCCCGUUUUCAGUGGAAAACGGUUGGCGGACCUUUGGACUUCGUGGAUAGUAUUUAUACUUCUCCACCUCGUCCAUGAGACCUCUCUUGUCCAUUUGAACAUCAGAGAAACUUGUUGUGGAGCAAGAGAGUUGCAAAGAGCCUAGAGAGGAUUGGUUUUUGAGUGAUUUCUUGAGAGAAUCCUCCUCUAGUGAGUUCCAAGAGUCAAGUGUGCAUCCACCACUCUCUAGAGCCUUGUUUGGGUCAAGUGAGAGUUCUUUGCUUGUUACUCUUGGUGAUCGCCAUCACCUAGACGGUUCGGUGGUGAUUGGAGGCACGAAGACCACCCGGAGUUCUUGUGGGUGGCUCGUGUCAAGCUUGUGAGCGGUUUUGGGCGAUUCACCGCGACGGAGUGUCGAAGAAUCAGCCCGUAGAGAGCACUUGGUCCUUGCGCGGACCAAGGGGGAGCAAGACCCUUGCGCGGGUGCUCCAACGAGGACUAGUGGAGAGUGGCGACUCUCCGAUACCUCGGCAAAACAUCGCCGAGCACUUUCUUCCACUACUCCUUUACUUUCUAGCAUUUACUUUGUGUUUUUACAUUCUUAGAAUUGCCAUGCUAGAAUAGGAUUGGAACUAGGUUGCAAAACUUUUUAUCCGGUAGCUCUCUAAGUCACACUAGGCACAAGGGGUUGAAUUGGAGCUUAUAGGUUGCUUAAAUUUUUAGAGAAGCCCAAUUCACCCCCCCUCUUGGGCAUCUUGAUCCUUUCAAGGUCCGAAGACACCCUCUGACUGCUCGGCACCAUUCCCACUAGUCAAAUGCUAAUUGACUUGUCAACACGACGGACUCCACAAGGUUUUACCAGAUUGUCCACCAGAUCAUAGAUUAUGCAAACACGCAAAUGAGUGAGUUGUCCUCCUAUCUCUCUCCUUGGCCCCAUUAUCAGCAUGAGUUAUCACUCUCAACUCAUGAAAACUAGCCCCAUCUCGCUACUAAACACUCUCCUCCCCUCCUCUCUUUCUCUAGAAUGGAGCAUAGAAAAGGAAGAACAAUAAAGGGAAAGAAGGGUAAGAAAAGAAGAGAAGAAGGAAAAGAGAAGGAAUUUAAGCUCAAGAUUAUACUUAUAAAUAGAGAAGAAGAUGAAGCUCAACCUCUCUCCCUCAUGCUAUCAUAAGUGUAAGCUCAAGAAUCUCUCUCUAGCUCAUUUUCAUGAACAAAUCCUCUCUCUAAUCUUUUUCUCUCUUUAAACAUAGGAGAUGAAUGAAGAUCAUGACUCUCCCCUCCAUUCUGAAGUGAAGCCUCGAAGCUCAUCUCCCCUCUAUCACUCAGCAAGGAGCACUCCCUCCAAUUUCACCUCCCUCGUGGAAGAAACCCUUCCCUCCUACGGAUGCAAGAACAUCAAGAAGAAGAGCUUGAUCUUGGUGACCCCAUUUUUAGCAAAUCAUCAAGAGUAACUUCAUCUAUCUCUUCUUCAAUCCUUAGAUUACCUCCCUCAUAAUCAUGGUUUAGAAAUUCACAUUGUGGUAGAAUCUCAUGCUAAAGAGUAAGGAUGUUUAUGAACUGAGUUGGCAUUCACUUAAGGGGAAUGACUUAUUUUAACAAAUUGACUGAGGCCAUGCUUUAAUUUUGACUUAAGUUAUUAACUUGUUGUGAGAGUUGGCUCAAACAAUGGGUAAGGUCACUAUGAGUGUUGGAUCUCAAGUGACAUAGCUUAUGGAGUAGUUAAGGGACACCUCUAUGUUAUAGUGAGUCAGAGUAACCCUCGAACAAACCACAUGUCAUGUCUGAGUGUGAUAAGCUGAGUACUUAGUGGUGGCUACCUAAUGACAUGGAUUUGGCACAAGAUUGAAAGAUCCUAGUUUGAUUUUUGUAAUUAACAAUCCUACCUAAGUGGAUUAAUGUGUUUUAUGUAAAAACACACAAGUGAUUAGUCCAUAGGUACACUAGUGUGAGCAAUACAUACAUAGAGCCAUGGUGGAGAGGUGCCUUGGACAUGUUACAAUUGUCCAACUAGUCGGAUGAAGGAGCUCAUUGCAUAUGAGACAUGACAUGGUGUCAUGUGUCUAGGUGGAGAAGAUCAAGAGGUGAAGCUUUGCUAUGGAGGAUUAGGUUGCUAGUGUGAAGGGCAAGCUAAAGGUUCAAGUGCAAUGGACCAUUGAGGCAGUGAAGCUACAACAGAGGGCUUGGCACCAAGGACUGGGUGCAACGGUUAAGGGCAAGCAAGGCUAUGAUUGAUGAACCAAUAAGGCCAUGUGAUGACAUGAAGUGGAUCAUAUCAUCUAUGGAGGAUCAAGCCAUGCAUGUGUUGAUUACAUGUGGCUUGAUGGAGGUUGGAUGCUUGUGUGGCAUCACUAACAAAAGAGAUGAAAUAGAAUGCACAAGAAAAAAAAGGUAUAUUUGUAGAGCAUUUCAUUUCUAGGUCAAAGGUUGAGUAGGGAGUACUUGAAAGGGUUUGGGAUAGAUAAUUGUACUAUCAAGAGUGGAAAACUUAUUUGCAUAAUGAUCAUCUAGUGCCACUUGAGUGAUCUAACAUUGCAUUUGUUUUUUGGAUCGAGUGGCGGUUGAAAAAGAUUUUGGAAACCUUUGUGAAAUGAUUUAAAAAUGCUUGGUUGUCUUGUGUGAAAAUAUUUGAAGUUAGCAUAUUUUCAAAAGGUUUGAAAAUUAUUUUGAAUUGACUUUAAAGAAGAACUCAGAGGCGUGUUUGGUGCUUCACCGAACAAAUCCGAUGGACCUAGGGUUUACGGGACCAGACUAAUCUAGUGUGGAGAAGGGGCAUGCAACAGGGAGCUUGUGCAACAGUAGAACUACCUAGUGGCUGGAAUCAACCCUUAUGGUGGUAUAACCACCCACCGAACUGAUAUAUGCUAGCGGCGGCAUAGGCCACACCUAAUCAUACGUGAGGGGCUUUUGAGCUUUAGGCCUACUAGUCAGUGCAUGGUGAUUGGACUGGCAAUGCCGUAGUUGGACUACUAGGAGAGUCAGCGUGCAAGAGUUAGUUAGGUGGUUCAAACUAACAUUGUCUAGGUUAAUCUAGUGGCUAUUGCGUGGUUUGGAGCUUUGUAGUGGACACUAGAUUUAUCUAGAGGCUAGGGCAUUAGAUUGAUUUUUUAAACACUUGACUAUUACAUGUGCAUCCUGAACAACUCUUGGAGGUGUUGAUGGCCUAGAAGUUGGACUAGUGGAGUUGCCUUGUUGGAUCGCCAGUGGCUGGCUGAUGCGUGGGGCCCAACCUAUAGGUAGCCAUUAGAGGGUGCAACUGACGAUCAUUGGGCCCUGGUGGUUGGACCGUCAGUGUGUAAGAGGCAUGGGUAGAAGGCCCAAGUGGCUAGCUAGUUUAGUUGCCUCCCUCUAUAAAUAGAGUAGUGGUCGAUCAUGAAGCUUGGUUUGCCUUUGGGGAGUUUGUGUCUGCCCUUUUAGGAGUGAUCAGUACCCUCCAACUCACUUGUGACUCACAGAGGUCAUAUGCGAAAGUGGAUGAGUGAUUCCUAUUGCAGUGUGUUGAGAGAUUGCAAUCUGUGAAACUAGGUGUUUAUGAUCCAAGCUAGUGUGUUUUUACUCUUGGAGAUUGCCACCUCCUAAAUGACUUGGAGGCUUGUGUGCUUUGUUGUAGCACACAUAGAGAUUCUGUGGUGCUUUAGAGAGACCAUACUGUGAGGGUUGUUGUGCUUGUCUUGUGGGGUCACUAACAGCAACUAUUAGUAGAGUGAGGUGAGAAGAGCGCCAAGUGGUCUGCUAAAUCUAGUGUUGCUAGUGCUCAUGUUGGAGCACACCCUUUGGUGGUGACUGCAAGCUUUUGGGCUUGUAACUAGCAAGGGAAUCGACAACAAAAAUAGGCUUCCCUCAACGGGGAUUAAGUGGUUGGCAAGCCACCAAACCUUGAGAUAAUCACUAGCCUAUGUUACUUUUGUUCAUUACUUAUGCUAGUGAGUACUUGUUGCUCUUGAGUAACGUGUAGUUAACUAGUUUCUCUCUCUCUCUCUCGCUUAGCUUAUGUAGUUAAGUAGCUUAUCUUGUAGUGUUAGUAGCUUGUGCUUUGUGCACUUUGCUUACUAGAAUUUGUAGGAACUCUCUUAUGCUUAUUACUUGACUACCAACAUUAUGUGACCUUGUUGACUAGAAUUAUUUAGUGAGCACUCCCUCUAGCUCAGCGCCUUAUACAUAACUUGCAGGAUCAUUUGUAAGGUGUUUGUGAUAGAUAAAUGGAAUGUAGUCUUGGCUAGACCAAUCAGUUUAUUUUUUGUAUUUGUUUUAGUUAGCCAUAGCAAUUAUAAUUUAGAAAACACUAUUCACCCCCUCUAGUCGGCUCCUUGUUGCUAAUAGGGGUGUAGCAUCGAGUAGCUAAAAGAAGAUAGUACCUUAGCUGAUUGGCAUACCAUUCAUGGUUAGUUGGCCACACUAGGGAAAUGUUGGGACCUUGAGGCAACCCUUACCCCAGCAUAGACAUAGAGGUUCAUCCUAGACUCCUGUGUUGUAUAGUUACACACCUCUAUAGAGAUUUCUUCAAAAGCAUAAAUGUCCUUAGAUGACAUCGGUUGUUCUUACUUGUUUCAAUGUAGUGAGAGUAAACAUGAGUUAUGCAUAUUUCUACUUAGUCAAUAAUUUUCCAUAGCAUCUCAUAUUAUAACUCAUGCCAUGCUUUUUGCAAUGAUUAUAAAUUCCUAUUAAUUACUCCUCUUGCAUCCUCUGAGUAUAGUUGUACUCAUGGUAUUUCAUUUCAGAUGUUUUCAAGUGCCAACAACUCGGUGAUCACUCAAGCCAACUUGAGUGAAGUCAACAGUGUAGCAAAGCAAGGGAUCAAUGUCCCCAAAGUUGUGGUUAACUCUGAUGGAGCAAGCAUUGUGCGAGCAAACAUUAGAAUUUGUUUUAUGUAUAAUAAUGGGAUUUGUUAUACAUGGACUGGUAACUAAUUUGAGUAUUUAACUUUAAUAUCAAUGGUAAGGUUUUCAUUUGUUGUUAAGUGCAAUUCCUUUGCUCGAUGAAUCUUGUAGGAUGUGUACAUGGCAUGUGUCUCUUUAACUUGAUCCUAUCAUUUAAGUUGCUCUAGUAGAGCUUGUGGAUGGUGACUCUAGGGAUCCUCCUAUGGCCAUCAAGUUAGUGUUGCAUUGGUCGAGAAGACACCAUGUGGUACUAAUCAGGCGGCUAGGGAGGAUUCCUUGCAAAUGUCAUUACUAUAAGUUUUGGUGUAGUGGUUGGGGUGGAUUAAGUAGUGCUUGGUGGGAUGCCGGCUAGAACUACUACCUAGAGAAAAGCGGAAGGGAGGAGAGGGUACACAAAAAUUGAGAAACCAUGUCUGUUGUUGAUAUGAGUUACACGGAUGGCAAAGAUUGCUCUAGAUGAAGCAGGCCAUCAUUGUAUGAAGCAUUGAUCUUGUGAGAACAAACACCAUAUGAUAUGACAAUUCUCAGCGAUGAGUACACUAGUCUACACAUGCUCAAGCAAGAGAGGCAAACAAUUCUAAUUGAUUAAGUCAUGUGAUCUAAAACUAAUACUCCCUCCAUACCUAGAUUAGAUGGCGUUCUGGGCUUCCUUUGUGCUUUUACAAAGAAUGACGUCCUAGCCUCCGAAGGAGUAUGAUGGACUGGACUGCCCUUGCCUUUCAGUCUUCUGCCCGCAUUAAUGGACGGGUGUCUCCCAUGCUAAUGGACGCGAAAGUCCGGCGUCUCCCAUGCAUGCAUGCUAACGGACGUGAACCGACGCCGGCUCCCAUGCAUGCAUGCUAACGGACACGAACAGACGCCGGCUCCUAUGCAUGCUAACGGAUGGGAAACCAGCCCUCUCCCAGUCUUCCCAGGCGUCUCCCAUGCAUGCAUGCUAACGGAACACGAACGGACGCCGGCUGUAUGCAUGCUAACAGAUGCGAAACCAGCCCCAUGAAAAAUCACGUCCAAGUACAAAAAGGCGCAGGCAACAGGAAUCGAACCCCCACCCUCGCCCAACGAGCGCUUUGAAAGCAGCCCCGGUAACCAUUCGAAUAGAGAAUGUUUCAUGUCUAGGAUACACCCGCGCCUCUAUUUAAUAAGGGUAAAACCAGAAGAUUAUCCCCUAAUUAAUAACUCCUUGGUAAGCACAAUUAUGUCCUAAACGUCAUAUAUUUCUAGUAUGGAGGGAGUACAUAUAUAUCUCUCUUGAUAAGCAUUAUAGUGACUACAUACAUUUCAAAUAAAUCAAACUAAUCAAAAUCUCAUUGCUAAAGCCAGAAUCCCUCUUUUGCUUCUUUGUUGGAGGCUCAUCAUCAACCUCCUCCUCCACCUUACCGUACCAGUGCUCAUCGUCCAUCAUCUAGGGAAGGAUGGAUCUAGGAUGAAAGUUUAGGGGGGCUGUAUUCACAUGAACACAUCACCAUGUGCCCUAGGCGAUGAGGAUGAUAUGCAAGACAUGUUAUUUGAGGAGCCUUGUUGGGAGUGCGAUAAGCAAGACAUGCCAGUUGAAAGUUCUAGUUUGGUUUUGGUGAAUUGAUGAAACCCUAUGUGCAAACCUAUUGCUCUAAGUGUUCGUGAGAUAGGAAAGCACACUCCAAGUGGUGAGUAACAUUGGUGAUGAUCAUGAUGGUGAUGGUGAAACCAAGGUGAUCAAGUGCUUGGGUUUGGAAAAGAAGAAAGAUAAAAACAAAAGCUCAAGGCAAAGGUAUAAUUGGUUAGGAGCUUUUUGGUUUGCACUUAAGACACCAUAGAGGGUGUGAGUGAUUUAGGUUUGAUAUCCAUACUAUUAAGAGGGGUGAAACUCAUAUCAAAAUGCGGUUAUCAAAGUGUCACUAGAUGCUCUAACUCAUUGCAUAUGCAUUAGGAUCUAGUGAGUGCGCUAACUCCUUUGAGAAAAUGCUUGUGAAAAUGCUAACACACUUGCACAUUAUUGUUUCAACAUUGUGGUGUUGGCACAUUUGCAAAGGAGGUGUAGUUUUAGGGGUAGAGAGGGGUUUGGGAUCCUCUCUCCCUCCCAUCAAUCUUACGAGGCAGGAUUCAGCAUUUUUGUGGAAAUGGAAUGCAUAUUUUCCAUUGCACUAAAGGAAAGUUGAUGUCAUGCAUGAUGGUGUAGUGGAUCCGGAUCGAUCAAGGAUAUUUAUAGUCAAGAUUCUUUGUUAGUUACUUACAUGUAUAAUUAAUCAUGAUCUGUCUGUUUGAUAUCACACCCCCAUGCACCCAACAUAUAUAAUUACAUACAUUAAAUCACCGAUUUAGUACUUUUUAAGCAUCAUCAUCAUGUGAGAAGGAUGCAUGGUUUGUGUCAAAACAAUGCAUGCAAUGCAUCCACAUAUACAAAGAAAAGAGAGAACUAGGGCUCUGUUGAUGCAAAACUGAUCUGCAAACACAAAGGGCUAAUACCCGAUUCAAACGUUAAGGCGUGCCAGCCGAUUUGACCUUGCUAUCGGCAAAGGUGAUAACUCGAAUACUUUAGUCCUGACAACAGCGAUGCGCCCGGAUGUCACGGCUAAGAGGUACUCACGCGGAACUUGAGAACACGCCGAGCUUAAGUCGACGAAUUCCUAAGAACUCGUAACAAAAGGAAAAAGUAUGACGAAGUCGUCGAAAAGUAAAUGCUGGAAUAUGAGUAAAAACGUGUGUUUGAUUCAUUGAUUCAUUUUUUAUUACAAGGCCCUAGGGUCUAUAUUUAUACCCUGCUCAAAGAGCUACAACCAGACACGAUUAGAAUUCGAAUUCCAAAAUACACGGAAUCCGUAUACAAAACGAUGCAAAUAAUUAAGGAAAUAACAAAACUAUCCCUCGUGACAAACCGAAACUCCUCCACAUAACGACCGGCAGCUUCCGGACUCCCUCUUUGCAUCAUCAGCAGACCCUUUGCCAUAGUCAUCGGUAGACUUUCUUAUCUAGCCAUCGGCACCAUAUUACUGCCUGUGGACUUAGUCACGUUCAACUUCUCCCUCAUCGGCAACCAUCCUCAUCGGCAACCCACUUUGUAAACAUCGUACUGCCACCUUAUCCUGCCAUCCUAGACACGUGCCCAAAAACGGUGUCAACACAUGCCCCCCAGUUUCGGAGUAUAAAACUAUUAAUGCUCCGAAAUUCUCUGCAGUAAUGAUGCCUUUUCCCGCAAUUAAUGCUCCUAAUCUGGUAACCGACAACCUCAAUCUGAACAACUCUGAUCCUAUUCCUCCGCAGAUUUCUCGAAAUCCCCAACUUCCUAAACGGGCAUUUUUUCUCAGUCGUACAUCGGCAACAAUACCGUUACAAAGAUCUGCCGAUGUUCUGACCAGGAUAUUCGCACAAACGGUUACUUCCCCUCUAUCCGCCCAUCAGCAAUAUGACCGUUAUAGAAUAUUGCCGAUGGACCGACCAGGAGAUCUCGCACAGUAAAAUAUCUUCAGAUAAUGACCGCUUCCCGUCAAAUCACCUGCACAAUCCCUGGAUUACCGUGCGAACAGUUACCAUAUCCACCUGAGUACCCUCGGAUUUCUCGGAUGCGGCAAAGAGAUAAGUCGGAUUUGCCCUUGCCCAUUUUGUCCUAUAAAUAGUUCCUUCUUGGGUACUCCUUCCCCAUCACACCAUUCUACUACCCAACUUUACUUUUCCAGCGGCGGCGCCACCAAAAACUCCCAAGGUCUCCGACAAGUACCCCUCUUCACCAACUCCGGCGCCUUCAAACGCUUCCUUCGCAGCAAGAUGGCCGUCGGGUUCGUCGUCCCUGAGGUCAAAUCUCCACCCCGUCUUCUGUAUUUUUCUUCAUAUCCCUGUUCACUCGCAAUUCAUUUUACUGAACAUCUUCCUUUUCUUUCCUCUUUGUAUUUCUUUUUACGCCCAAAAUCACUAGGAAUUGUCCAACAAAAUUGUCAUCCCCACCGAUCAACGACACCUUCAAUGCCUCGGCCCUCUAGGGGACCCAGAUCCAACUGACCUUAUCAACGCAGAAACCAACAGGAUCCCCUUCAGAGCCGAAAAUUUUUCCUUAGAUCUGUGGAAGGACACCUUCCGCUCUUGGCCCAGCCCAACUGUAGGGUGGAAAGACUGGUUCUUGAGGGUCAGCAACUCUAAUGAAGUUCAGUGGGGUGAAAGGAAUCUAGCCCAAUGCAUUAGAUUGUCCAUUGCCGAUAUGCAUAGGAACGAGUCACUGCUGAUAGCUGCAUCCUACUUUUGGUCAGACACCCUCAAUGCUUUUGCCUUUGGCCACGGCCCUGCUUCUCCUACUCUUGCCGAUGUAGCCAUGCUUACUGGUCUAGAUAUAUCUUCUGCCGAUAGCACCCACUUUUUUGAUACUGCCCCUAGUGCCAAAGUGGAGACUCGCGCUAUCGGCGGUUGGUCGGGGUACAUUCAGAAGUACCGUGGGAAAGGAUCUGUCACCAUAAAGUAACAAACCACCUUUCUGAACAUGUGGCUGGACAAGUUUGUAUUAUGUAGUCGAUCGGCAGGACCGACUUCUGUCUACCUAUCGGCAGCAGAAAGACUGGCUAACGGUGGCCGAUUCCCUCUCGGCCGAUACUUGCUUGGCGCUGCUUACCACCUUCUCCAUCAAGUAGCCCAGAAACUUCUGCUCGGCCAAUCCACUGGCAACUUGGGAGGCCCCUGGUGGUUUGUUAACAUGUGGCUCAAUCUGCAUCUGCACAAGCGUCUCAACUUCAACCUGUUCACACAGCGUUUCCCAAGAGAUAUAGCUGAAAACCAUGUAUUGGGUGAAGAGGAAUCGGCAACACGCGCCCCCUUGAACUUUGGCGAAGCUGUCAUAGUUCUGCCUGGUUCAGGGGGUAAUCCAGAUCAGAUCGGCCGAUUCUUCCAGACUCUGUAUGAGGGUUUGACCAGAGACGAACGACCAUGGUUGGCUUAUGAUGACCCAGAUAGCAUGCUCCCUCUGACCUUCAAUCCAUUUGAUGAAGCUCUCGACAGGGACAAUGAGGCGAUGAUGGCAAUUGUGACUCCCAGAAUCAUUCCAGUGAAUUUCUUUGGUAGCACAAAAACCUCCCCUCAAACUUACGAAUUUUACAAUCCAUCGGCAUUAGCUCGCCAGUUAGCUUUCGGCCAGUUGCCGAUUGCACUUCCUUAUGCCGAUGUGAUAAAACCCAGAGAAACUAUCAACAACCUUCUUGAGUGGACUCGAGCAGCCCAACUACCACCAAACACCGAUAUAGAUGUAGAUCUGUCAGAAUGGGUUCCGGCUGCUUUUAUCACUCAGGCAUACAAGUUAUGGUGGGCAGAAUGGAAAGAGCAUCUAUUCUGCAGAUCGGCACUUUCAUACCGCGGCAUGAUUGACUCCGAAUACGAAGUUCCCGAUGACACUGUAAGUAACUCAAACCAACGUUUCAUUUUCUCAAUAUUACCUCCAUCGGCAGCUUACCCUUGUAUUCUUUUUGCAGGUUGACAAUAUUCCUCCAUUGGUUAGCAGGAGUGGCAGGCCGAUCGACUUGUUUCCAUCAGGCCCGAUUUCCUCAAUCGGCCACAAUGCUCCCACUCUAGCUUCCAUCGUGCAUCGGGGUGUACGCCUCAGGAAAGUCACCACCAGAAGAACCCAGACAUCACCAACGGUAGCUGCUCCCACUCUUGCGCGGGCUUUCAAGGCAAUUUGUCAAAUCUUUUCCUUUAUGCUGACUAUCUUUAUAUCGGCUAUAUUUAUGCUUAUAAACUCUUGUUUAUUAUUGCAGCAAACCGGCGCAUCGGCGAAAGCCAGGUGUGAGAGUACCGAUGCCCCCCAGUCUAGCCAACCCAAGAGAAAGGGCACCACGGGUGCUAAGACUGGAACAAAGCGCCAGAAGGUAGCAACUCCCCCUCCUCCUCCGGUAUCUCCAAUUCCGGUGGAGUCUUCUCCUUCUUCUCCAGAAGCCCAGCCACAGCAAGCACCAUCUCCCCCCACCUAUGCAGGAAGCACCACAGAUAGAAGAACCCCAACAGGAAGGAUCUCAAACAGAAGAUACAUCAGCUGACAUGGGUGAACAAACAACUAGCCCGGUGGGUCCAGCUAUACCAUCGGCAGUUCUCCCGAUUCAGACAACCGUUGUCCCUCCUCCAGGUAACAUACUUUAACAAUAUCGCUUCCGAUGAACUUAUUCUUAUUUAAUCUCAUAACUCCUUUUGUCUUCUUUCAGUUGAUAUCGUUCCAUCGGCAAUCUCAGCCGAUCAACCUGUAGCUCCAUCGGCAUCUUUGGCCGAUCAGCCCGCAGCUCCGUCAGCACUUCUCAGUCAAAGACAAGAGAUCGCUUUGAAGCAAGUAAGUCACCGUUUACCGUUAGCACUAUUUGCCGAUUCUCUGAGUAUGAGCUAAUUUUGCUUUCCCUCCCAGGAACAAGAUUCUUCCGAUAGCCUGUUCUCCUUCGCCAUCGAUCUCUCUGAAGAAGAAGGUGAAGAAGCAAGCUCUUCUCAGACGGUCGGCAUCACAUCGGCAGAGAUCAGGGUCAGGCUGGAAGAAUUGUCAGCUCUCCUUCACCAGGACACAGCGCAAUUGGUUGAUGAUUCCGACCCUACCAAGACCCUGUUCAGAACUCUCAGAGGCCAAAUCCCAGCCGAUGUUGAAGAAAUCCUGUUCCAAGCCGCUCAUCUGGAGAGUCGCCAGCUGCGGUACCAGAGAGCUUCUCGGCGUCUUGCCGAUAGAGCCGCUCAGACUCAACUCUCCGAUGAAAUGAGGAAAGAGAAGCUUUUGACCGAUGAGAAGCACAAGAACAUCGGUAUCCUGAGAUCUUCUGGAGACGCGCUGAAGCAGAAGAUAUCCGAUCUAUCGGCAAGAAAAGAAUCCCUGUUGGCGGAGCUCAAGGAAGUAGAGAACGCUCUGUCCCAAGCCCAACAGGAAGAGAGCCAAUUGCCAGAGACCAUCAGGCUUCUUGAGCACGAGCGAAAUGCUCAUGGUCGCAGGGCACUUCAACUGAAGAAGAAGCUGAAGCCGAUAGAAGGUUCUGCCGAUGAUGACAUCAAGGAGAUAGAAGCAGCCAACCAAAUUCGGCUACGCGCUAUAUCGGCAAUCCAGACGCUGCUUAACACAUAUAGUUUCCAUCGGCAUUAUAUCUGCGCUUUCCUGCUUCCUCAGCUUUUAGUCUAGCCGAUAGGACUGUUAUCGGCACCUAAACUUUUGAAACACCAAGUCUUGUCCCCAAGCAUUUGGAUCCAGCCGAUAGGAGUGUUAUCGGCACCUAAACUUCUAUGCAUCGACCCAUAUACUGGGGUAGUACUUCUUUAAAUAUUUGCCGUUUAAUGCUCUGGGAAAUUCAAUUCCUUCGAGGGUUUCUAGAAUGUAGGCAUUACCAGGAGCCGAUCGACUUAUCCGAUAAGGACCCUCCCAAUUAGGAGACCACUUUCCAAACUUCGAACUUUUGGUCCCAAAUGGUAAAAUUAAUUUCCAUACCAAAUCCCCAUCGGCAAACUCUUUAGCCUUCACUUUCUUAUCAUACCAUCUAGCAACUCUCUUCUUAUUUUCUUCUAUACUCAUUAAAGCUUUUAACCGAUGCCCUGCUAGAUCGUCCAAUUCAUCGGUCAUCAAAGUGGCAUAACCAUCGGAAGUUAAUUGAUCUUGAAAAGAUAAUCGCCUAGAUCCAGCCUUAAUUUCCCAAGGCAACACUGCAUCAUGUCCAUACACCAAUUGAUAGGGUGAUACUUUGGUCGAUCCAUGACAAGUCAUCCGAUAAGACCACAAUGCUUCAUUUAAUAAUGUAUGCCACCGCUUAGGAUUUUCUUCAAUCUUUCGUUUAAUAAGCUUGAUAAUUCCUUUGUUAGACGCUUCGGCCUGCCCAUUGGCUUGAGCAUAAUAAGGAGAAGAAUUCAACACUUUAAUUCCCAUACCGAUUGCGAAUUCAUCGAACUCCCCCGAUGUGAACAUGGUGCCCUGAUCGGUAGUAAUCGUUUGGGGAAUCCCAAAUCGGUAAAUAAUAUGCUCCUUCACAAAAUCAAUCAUAUUGGCCGAUGUGACUUUCUUCAAAGGAAUAGCUUCAACCCACUUAGUGAAAUAGUCAGUGGCAACUAGAAUGAACUUAUGCCCUUUGCUAGAUGGUGGAUAAAUCUGGCCGAUCAGAUCGAUGGCCCAUCCCCGGAACGGCCAAGGCUUUAUUAUAGGAUUCAUAGCCGAUGCGGGUGCUCUCUGGAUAUUACCAAACUUUUGACAACCCUGACAUCCCUUGAAAUAUUUAAAACAAUCUUCAAGUAUGGUUGGCCAAAAAUAUCCAUUCCUUCGAAUCAUCCACUUCAUCUUAAAAGCUGACUGAUGCGCUCCACACACUCCUUCAUGGAUUUCCCCCAUCAAACUUCUAGCUUCAUCAUCACCCAAGCAUCGGAGAAGAAUUCCGUCGAUAGUUCGAUAAUACAAUUCAUUUUCAAGGAGCACAUACUUGGUUGCUUGAAAUCGAACCCGUCUUUCAACUUUUUUGGAUGGAUCUUUUAGAUAAUCAAUAAUUUCUUUCCUCCAAUCACCGGCACCGACUGCCGAUGUCGCAUUAUUCAUUGGCUGAUAUCCCGAGGCAUGCUGAGCUAACCGAUUAGCGUCUUCAUUAUGCAAUCGGGGAACAUGCUCCAAUCGGAAAUCCUUGAAUUCCUUUAACAGUUGCAUACUUCUCUCGAAAUAAGUUAUGAGAACUUCACUUCGGCAUUCAUAGCUUCCGGCCAAUUGAUUUAUAACCAACAUAGAAUCCCCGAAUAUUUCAACAGCAUCAGCACGAACUUCUCUUAACAACUCCAAUCCCUUGAUCAGAGCCUGAUACUCAGCCUGAUUAUUUGUUGAUGUGGCAACAAUCGGCAAGGAAAACUCAUACUUCCUCCCCUUAGGGGAAACUAUUACAAUGCCGAUUCCUGCCCCCCGGUCACAGGUAGAUCCAUCAAAGAAGAGCGUCCAGGGUACAAUUUCCAAGGUUUCCACUAGACCGCAAUGCUGAGUCACAAAAUCGGCCAUAAUCUGCCCUUUGACUGCCUUAGCCGAUUCGUAACGCAAAUCGAACUCCGACAGCGCUAAAAUCCAUUUACCGAUCCUACCACUCAUAAUAGGCAUAGAUAGCAUGUAUCGGACCACGUCAUCUUUGCAAACAACAGUGCAUUCGGCCAAUAACAGGUAAUGUCUCAGCUUGAUACAUGAAAAAUAUAAGCAUAAGCAUAGUUUCUCAAUGGCCGAAUACCUGGUUUCAGCAUCAAUCAACCUCCUACUCAAAUAAUAAAUUACCCUUUCUUUCCCUUCAAAUUCUUGAACUAAAGCUGAACCGAUAACCGAUCCAUCGGUAGAUAAAUACAAUCUGAAGGGCUUCCCUUGUUGAGGUGGAACUAGAACUGGAGGAUUUACUAGAUACUUCUUGAUUUCAUCCAGAGCCAACUGCUGUUCUUCUCCCCAAAUAAACUCUUGAUUGGCUUUCAAUUUAAGAAGAGGACUGAAAGCACGAAUCCUACCAGACAAAUUCGAUAUAAAUCUCCUGAUAAAAUUUACCUUGCCGAUCAAGGAUUGGAGCUCGGUUUUGUUGGUAGGGGCCACUAUUUUAUUGAUAGCAUCAAUAGAUCUUCGACUAAUUUCAAUACCUCUCUGAUGUACCAUGAAACCAAGAAACUGCCCUGCCGAUACACCAAAUGCACACUUGUUGGGAUUCAUCUUCAAUCCAUGCUUCCUUGUGCACUCUAACACUUUUUGUAAAUCGGCAAGAUGCUUUGAGAAAUCUCCAGACUUAACCACCACAUCAUCAAUAUAAAUCUCCACGAGCUUGCCGAUGAACUCAUGAAAUAUAAAAUUCAUAGCCCUUUGAUAAGUAGCACCAGCAUUCUUCAACCCAAAAGUCAUGACUAUCCAUUCAAAUAGCCCAACAUGACCAGGACACCUGAAUGCGGUUUUUGGAAUAUCCUCCUCCGCCAUGAAUAUUUGAUUGUAACCUGCAUUACCAUCCAUGAAGCUGAUGACCCGAUGACCAGCCGCAGCAUCAACCAGUAGAUCGGCGACAGGCAUUGGGUAUCCAUCCAUCGGCGUAGCUUUAUUGAGAUUCCUGAAAUCAAUGCACACCCGAAGCUUCCCGUUCUUCUUGCAAACCGGAACAACAUUGGAAAUCCACUCGGCAUACCGACACUGCCGAAUAAACUUAGCUUCAAUAAGUUUGGUGAUUUCGGCCUUAAUAUCAGGUAGAAUGUUAGGAUUACAUCGGCGGGCUGGUUGCUGAUGUGGCCGAAAUCCAGACUUGAUGGGUAACCGAUGUUCAACAAUUGAUCGGUCUAAACCAGGCAUCUCGGUAUAAUCCCAAGCAAAGCAAUCUUUAUAUUCCUUUAACAAACUAGUCAAUUGUUGCUUACUCUCAGGAUCUAAUUUAGCACUAAUAAAAGUAGGCCUAGGCUUAUCACCACUACCUAUAUCUACUUCUACCAAAUCAUCGGCCGAUGUGAAUCCCUGGCCUAAUUUUCCAUCAUCGGCGAAUCUAUCCAUUAAAAACCGUCGUCAGAACCGACUGCUUGGAUCGGUGGAAUCUCAUAAUCGGCAACUUUGAGAAAAUCUUUCUCCCAAACUUCUCCUGAAAUGCACCUGGUCCUUUCGUAAGUAUCCGCUUCUGCCGAUGCGAUAACAUAAGAAGAAUCUCCUGGGACAAUCUCAAUCUUGUCACCUACCCACUGAACCAAGCAUUGAUGCAUUGUAGAUGGGAUACAACAAUUGGCAUGAAUCCAAUCUCUUCCCAAUAAUAAGUUGUAAGCACCUUUUCCGCUGAUCACGAAAAAAGUUGUCGGCAAGGUUUUGCUGCCGAUGGUCAACUCUGCACAUAUCGCCCCCUUGACUGGAGACACGUUUCCUUCAAAGUCUUUGAGCAUCAUAUCGGUCUUGGUCAAAUCUUGAUCCCCUUUCCCAAUCUUCCGAUAUACUGCAUACGGCAUAAUAUUAAUAGCAGCUCCACCAUCAACUAGGAUCUUGGUCAUUGGCUGCCCAUCAACCCUUCCUUUGAGGAACAGAGCUUUAAGAUGCUGCCUCUCGUCAUCGGCAGGUUUCUCAAAGAUAGCCGUCAUCGGAUCCAGAGCCAACUGAGCUAUCUGAUCAGAAAAUUCCAACUCAUCAUCACUGGCUGGUGCAAGAAACUCCAUCGGCAACAUGAAGACCAUGUUGACGCCUGCCGAUGGACCUUCCCUCUUAGUGUCCGACGGCUGCCGACUUCCAGAGUUCUCUCCCUUGUUUAGCUCUUCUUGCCUUUCACGUUGCAAUCUCCUUUUCUGUGUCUUGGUUAAUCCUCCAGGGCACCAUGGAGGAAGUGGCCUUUGCCUUGCCGUCGGGCGUCGGUUCUCCCUUGACUCCAUACGAUGCGUGUUAGCAUCCCUGCAAAAUAUGAAUUCAUCGGGAACCCGCGCAUCAGCCAUUUCCUCGAGCUCUUCUUGGUUCCUGGGAAAGUACUGGACACGGUCACUAAGUCUGUCGUGCCCACUAAAUCUGCCCCCCAGCCGGUCAUGAACUGACACCCUUCCUCUGAUCGGCCCAUUAAAUCGCCGUUCAUCAUCAUGAUAAUGCCGAUCGAUCCUAUCGUACCGAUCAUAACCGUUGCACUCAGGGCAGUCUCUGACAGUAGGAAGCUUGAUAUUUUCCUCCCAACAAUGGAUGAAGAAUGGACAAUUCCAAUGAUCCCUGUGCCGAUUCCACUCCUGUCGGCGUCCUUCUUCUUCCCGUCGAUAAUCUUCCUGCUGGCGCCGAUACCGAUCUUCCCGUUGUUGCCAAUUUUCUCGAGGCCUUCUAUGAGUUAUGACGAUACCAGAUCGAGGAGGCCUUCCUGAGCUAGUUCCUUCCUGGACCAAGCCCUUACUUCUUGCAUCGGCAGUAGUAACUUGAUGCUGAGGAUCUACCGAUGCACUCUUCUCAGCUGUCUCCGAUGUUAAGACCUUAGCCUUCCCCUUAGCAUCCAACAUGUUUGUCGGGAAAGGAUGUUGGUCUAUCUUCAUCGGCUUCUGGGCUUUGGAACUGUCAAACUUGAUUCUCCCUGACUCUAUAGCCGAUUGCAGCUGCUGUCUGAAUACUUUGCACUCGUUGGUGUCAUGGGAAGUUGCAUUAUGCCACUUGCAAUAUCUCAUCCUCUUCAACUCUUCUGCCGAUGGGAUCACAUGGUUAGGUGACAGUUUGAUCUGACCUUCCUGAAGUAGAAAGUCAAAUAUCCUAUCAGCCUUAGUGGUGUCAAAAGCAAACUUCUCUGGUUCCUUCUGCCCAAAAGGACAAGACAUCGGCUUCUUGUUUUUUACCCACUCUGCCAAGCCGAUUACUGGUUCUUCAUCAGAAUCUGAGCUUGUUGCUUCAUCGACAAAUGACACUUUCCUAUUCCAUGCUCUUUUAGGCUCGAAAGGCUUGAUGUCUUGAUCAGAAAUCCUCUGCACCAAAUGACUUAAACUUUCGAACUCCUGAGAGGCAUACUUAUCCCUGAUAUGUGGCAACAAACCCUGGAAAGCCAAAUCGGCUAGCUGCCGAUCAUCCAGAACCAAGCUAUAGCAUUUAUUCUUGACCUCUCGUAUCCUCUGCACAAAACCCUCAACCGACUCAUCAUUACGUUGCCUCAACUUGACCAAGUCGGUGAUCUUCUUCUCAUGAACCCCCGAGAAGAAGUAUUUGUGGAAUUGCUUCUCUAGAUCGGCCCAAGUAAUUACUGAGUUGGGAGGUAAUGAUAUGAACCAAGUAAAGGCCGAUCCAGACAAUGAUGAUGAAAAUAGACGAACCCUCAAUUCGUCCCUGUUACCAGCCUCUCCACAUUGAAUGAUGAACCUGUUGACAUGCUCCAUGGUUGACGUGUCGUCCUGCCCGGAAAACUUUGUAAAAUCCGGUACCUUGUACCGAUGUGGAAGCGGGAUCAAAUCAUACGCGGGAGGAUACGGUGUCCGAUAAGAGUAAGUGUUGACUUUGGGUUUUAUCCCAAAUUGUUCCCUCAUCACUUCAGCAAUCUUAUCGGCCCAAUAUGCAUCGGCAUCUUGCCGAUGAGGCGGCUGCGGAUCUGGCACUUGGUGGCGAACCUCCACGUGUCUGUUCGGGACGUGAUCUGCACGGAACAUUGUAUUGAUCACCUGUCCUCCAAUCUGCGGACCACCAAACUGUUGUCCACCGAUUGGCUGUCCUCCGAGUUGCUGUCUAAAAUUCAUUGGCUGGUUGGGAAUCCCCUGACCUUGGAACCCGGGAUAGACCUGCCCUUGCUGGAACCCUGUAGUCUGGUAACUCUGCUGGGGCGAUUGUGGAAAGGCUUGCUGUCCAAGCCAUCCAUUAUUAGCGUUCAUCGGCAUAGGUGCUGCCGAUGAUUGGUAAUUGGGUACCGUCGUUGAAUUGACAUACCCCGACUGGGCCAUAGACCUCUGUUGCAUCAGCAUUGACUCUGCCGAUGCGUUGGGCAUCUGGAACAUUGAAUCUUGAGGAUUUCCAGUGUGAGGCCUUGCAGUAGUAGUUGUGGUAUACCGAGGACUCUGGUUCACCGGCGCAUUGGGAGGUGCCGAUGUCAUAGGAGUUUUGCCCCUCAUGUCAGUUAUUUGUGAUGUUCCCGGUGUCAACUCUGGAGGCAUACCGUAACCCCACCAGUUGGGAGGAAGAGUCAACCCUGACAUUGCCGAUGCCAACAUAUCUGUUGUCAGUUUAUGCUGCCCAACUGAAAUUUGUGGGUUGGUUGUCAUCGGCAUAGAUAGUGCACCAGUAGUCCCCGAUGUGCUUGGAGGGACGGCAGAUUGUGCACUUGCAGUCGUCAAGGCAGCCGAUGGAGCCGUGACCUCUGGUGCCGUUGGCUGAUGAUGGGAGGGGCCCACAUAAUCUGGUGGGAUUUGUCCUUCCUUGAAAGUUCUUGCCACGGCAUUGAAAACCGUAUUAGACAGUACACCAGCUUGGUUAAUCAACGCUCGAUUGAUGGCAUUGUCAACCAUAUCUUGAAGCUUGCCAGGAUUGGCGUCAAAGGUAACCUGCCGUGGUGCCGGCAGUGCAUCUUUCUGGACCACUUCGCCGCUCCUGUUUAUGCUGAAAGACCUCAGGCAUUGCUGCUUGAACUCUUCCAUGGCUUGGGCAAUAGCUUGCUUCUGCUCAUCCUUGAGGUUGGCCUCCGUCACGGGGAUGACGUUCUCUUGAUCGAGGUCAGAGAUCGACAUGUUGAUCUUGAUCUUGAAUCCUGUCCCACUGGGCGUGCCAAAAGAUGUGUUGAUGCAAAACUGAUCUGCAAACACAAAGGGCUAAUACCCGAUUCAAACGUUAAGGCGUGCCAGCCGAUUUGACCUUGCUAUCGGCAAAGGUGAUAACUCGAAUACUUUAGUCCUGACAACAGCGAUGCGCCCGGAUGUCACGGCUAAGAGGUACUCACGCGGAACUUGAGAACACGCCGAGCUUAAGUCGACGAAUUCCUAAGAACUCGUAACAAAAGGAAAAAGUAUGACGAAGUCGUCGAAAAGUAAAUGCUGGAAUAUGAGUAAAAACGUGUGUUUGAUUCAUUGAUUCAUUUUUUAUUACAAGGCCCUAGGGUCUAUAUUUAUACCCUGCUCAAAGAGCUACAACCAGACACGAUUAGAAUUCGAAUUCCAAAUUACACGGAAUCCGUAUACAAAACGAUGCAAAUAAUUAAGGAAAUAACAAAACUAUCCCUCGUGACAAACCGAAACUCCUCCACAUAACGACCGGCAGCUUCCGGACUCCCUCUUUGCAUCAUCAGCAGACCCUUUGCCAUAGUCAUCGGCAGACUUUCUUAUCUAGCCAUCGGCACCAUAUUACUGCCUGUGGACUUAGUCACGUUCAACUUCUCCCUCAUCGGCAACCAUCCUCAUCGGCAACCCACUUUGUAAACAUCGUACUGCCACCUUAUCCUGCCAUCCUAGACACGUGCCCAAAAACGGUGUCAACAGGCUCGCUUGAGAUGCUAGGGACCCAUGUACUAGUGGGUCUAGAUCCUUGCAUGUAGUGGGCAAGCAUCUAGCGCCUCAUGCAAGCAGCCCAGUCCAUGCCAAACAACAUCUAUCCCAUCUUUUAGCAAGGAAGGCACUCCACCAUGCAAGUGUAGAUGAGCAAACCACCAGGAAAAGUGAGACACAAGAUUUAUCCCCAAUGUUCAGUUGCUUGCUGGUAACCUACAUCCUCGUUGAGGCUCUUGGCUUCAUCUUUUUUUUGCAGCAACUCUUUUUUGAACGAAAACCGUGGGGCAAAGCCCCCCGGCAACAUAUAUUGAACA
This 66201-nucleotide long non-coding RNA is filed under the name Sorghum bicolor (sorghum). Its description in RNAcentral is "long non-coding RNA (SBIC_LNC018244)". Lineage: Eukaryota; Viridiplantae; Streptophyta; Magnoliopsida; Poales; Poaceae. The record is from RNAcentral.